Molecule: long non-coding RNA, 51001 nt
Filed under: Gossypium barbadense (sea-island cotton)
Lineage: Eukaryota; Viridiplantae; Streptophyta; Magnoliopsida; Malvales; Malvaceae
Description: long non-coding RNA (GBAR_LNC002751)
Source: RNAcentral
UUGUUUCAAUCUCUACACAUUUAAUAAUUUACACAAACAUUUGAUCUUCUGCCCAUAUAAAUUUACUCAGUCUAGGUUUUUAUCUGAAUUGUUCUUUGAUUUUGAAUAAGUCUUCAUUAGACGACCAGGCAUUCUAUUGCACACAAUUCGCUGUCAUGUCAUAGACCUUGUAUUACUAAGGUAACCUGUGUGUUUCGGUUGUCAAGCAUUUGUUCAGGUUUCACUAAUGCAACUGCAUUCAUGUAGACAGAUUAUUUUCCAAUAGGGUAGUGAGUUCCCUUGGAAUGGAUCCCUGUUAGAUUGUUGUUUAGAUGAUUGUACGUUAGAUUCGAGCACGAUGCACGAUGACUUAUCGAUGUUUAAGUCAGGGGAAUCUCAGUGACUUAAGUUAUGUGAAAGACUGGAAUUUCUCCUUCAAAGCUCUGUUAUCAUACAAAUCCAUGAUUGAACACAAACAUUUAGUUUGCACGAGUAAAAUCAGCUAGUGAGUUUUUUACAGGCUUGUGAAAGAGAAUUUAAGAUAAAUUGUAGAGUACCAAGAUACAACAUAGAUAGAUGAUAUGCAUUACAAGCUGUCUUGACAUCCCCGUUCUUUCUGUAGAGUUUUGAUGUUUAUUUUUUAAGAUGAGGAAAACACGUGUACACGUCGGACUUUGGAUGCUUCGCCUCAGCGUGCUCCCGACAUUUCACUUCCGUUGUGGUGCACAUGAAUGUUUGCAUACACACCUUGCACUGUUUUCAGGCACCAUCAUAAACCAGUUAUGUUAUCAGAGGAACCCGAGCAAAGGACAACAAUGAUAUGAAGAAGAAACCAAAACCCGAGUCAUGUAUCUGAUAAUGUAGUUCACAAAAUGUGUCUAAAUUCAUUUUGACACUAUCAACUAAUGAUAUAACAUGAUGAAUGUUCUAAGUUAAGAAAUGUUAUUUCUGGAAUUCUCAAUUGCAUUUAUUACCAAAUUCCACUCAAACAGAACACUAGAAAGGCAGUUUUUGCAAUCAAUGAUUACUUAUUAUAAGAAUUUUAGGAAGGCUCAGACAAUCAUACAAAUUCUUCUCAUCAAUAUUUGUAACUUGUGAAAGCUCAUGCAAGAGAAGCUUAAAUUCAAGUAUUGUGUCUGCUCAUGGUUUUCUUCAAUGGAAGAUUUAGAGAAAAGGCCAAUUCCUCCCUAAAACGUCUUCCAAGUGUCAUCUGUUGGGAGUCGACAAAUCCCUCAACAGGUCGGUGUUGCCCUCGGUUGGAAUUUGUCUCCCAACUCUAACGAGAGAUCAACUGCUUGAGGCAAUGGGUUCAUAGAGCGGGAGUAACUUUUCUUCUAAGUGGCAUACACCACGCACGGUCCAUCACAACGAGGCGCUCCAGCUGUGUGAACCUAUCACCUCAAGCUCUCGACUUUCCGAAGACAAACUCUUAAUAUCACUUUGAAGACUUCGGUCUCCCUCGACAAAACAAAAUAAUGACCAAAAGUCUACUGACAAUGAACAAUUGACAAGCGAAAAACACUCUCAAAUCGUAAUUCGCGCAUAGGAACCAAGCAAUAAGUUCCCAUGAAACCAUACAAAGCUUUAAUCGAAGAAUCUCUCUCAAGAAUUUAAACAAACACUCUCUUCAAAAAUACAUCACAAACAAAAAUAGUCAAACUACAAACACAGAAAACUAACAAAGGAAUUCCCAACUUUUGCAAAGGAAGAUAAACAAAUAAAUCAUAAACCAUUGGGCAAAAACAACAGAUCAAGCAAAGUACAGUUUUAAAAUCAAAGAAAGAAAUGAAAACCAGAGCAUGCAAAGAUACUACCUGGAUGGACAUGGCCUUCUUGUUAGACUCAAGCUGGCUUCCUAUCAAAAAACCAAAGCUUAAAGAUCAAUGAUGGAUCUAACUAAAAAAUGGUCUUAAAAACACAGACCCAAAGAUUAGCAAAGAGAUGGAGAAAGAAAGAAAAAGUGGAAAGGAAGGAUUUGGGGAGCACCUUUGGCAGCAGCUUUUUGCUUUUCCAAGUUCUUCUCACGGGCCAUCUUGGAUUUUUGGCCAUUUCCUCCUCCCAUGAUGGAUUGAUGAGGGAAAAAAAGAAGGGUUUUUUGAUCGAAUUGGAAGUGAAAACUUGGAAGAGGGAACUAUCAGAGAUGAUAAAGGCAAAAUAAGGGAAAUGGGGGGGCAGAAAAGAGACAAGACAAUGAACCACAAAGAAAGUAUAUUCGAAUAAAGUAAUGCAAGUGGGGGCCAAAAGGAUAGAGGCUGGAAAUUGUCGAUAAAGGAAAACGCCAACUAGUUGAAUUUAGGUACAUCAGUCAGAUCUGUUACUGUUCUAUAUAUCACCCGAUUGUGAGGUGGAAUUAAAGGGUUAUUAAGGGGGAGUUUGGGUUCGGAUCCAAUUUAUUUAAGGUAUUUAGAUUAAUUAUUUAAGUUCGAAUUUGGUUCGAAAAUAAGUUUAUUUUUUUGUUCUACUUUAAUCUAAUUUUAAAAAAUGUAAAUUUAGAUCAAGUUUGAUCAGUUUAUAUUUGAUUUUUUUAGUUUACUUUUGUUAUAUAAUUAUAAUAAAAUGUAUAAUAACUCAACCCGAAGUCCGACCUGAUAAACCUACCUAAAUAUAUAUAUAUUUGAAGACCCUCUCAGAGAGGAUCUUCUCUGCUUCUUCACCAGAAUGUCUUUUCCCUCUCUCCACUAUCAUUGAUAUCAUGUAUCAACAAUUUUUUUAUUUAAAAUUAAUUUAUUUUAAAAGUAUAAUACAUACUACAAAUGAUAAAAUAAAAGUUUUCUAACACAUUAAAAAUUAUUUAUAUUAAAAAAACACUAUCAUAAAUAUAAUAAAUAUUUUAUUAUAUUAAAAAACACAUAAAAAUAUUAAAUAUUUUAUUGUAUUAAAUAUAAUUUUUAAAAUUUUAUAUUUUGGUUUAGGUUACUCAGUUGAGUAAGUUUUUUUUUUUAAGUUUUGAGUAAUAAGUUUAAUUGUUAUUGGGUUAAUGAUUUAAUAUACGUAUAAAUAUAUAUAUAAUUAUUAUUUGACAUAUAUAUAAUUAAUACAAUAUUAUUUUAUAACAUAAUAUUCAGGCCGAAUUGAGCUCGGGCCAAGAAAAUCUUGCUAAAAGCUCAAAUUAUAUAAAAAAUAGACCUUAAUUUUACCUAAGCUCAUUUUUUGAGUGGAUCUUCAGGCCUGGGCUAGUAGUCCAGCCCAUGAGAAGGUCUAAGUGGAAUAAUAAAUAAAUAUUUAAUGUUUGAAUUUAUUUUUUAGUAAAUAGGUAUCGUUAAACAAUAUUUUUAAAAUUGAAUUGGUGAUCGAACUGUUUAGACCAUCAGUUUACUGGUUCAAUCAGUUUAAUUAAAAAAUUAUUAAAUUUUUUAAAAAAAUUCUAUUCGAACUGGUUCAAUCGUUAAUUCAACUAAUUUUUACUUAAUUCAUACCAAUUCUAAUAUACAACUUAAAUAUACACACAAAAAAAUAGUUACAAUAUUAUAAAAUUUAUAAUUUUAAUCAAGAUAUGUAAAUUUAAAAGAGGGGUAUUUUGAUAGUUUUUAGGGGUGGGCCGAUGCAGGCUUGAUCAAAACUUUCGAAAAUUUUAAUUAAAAGAUCAAUUUCAUCCUGACCCAAAACUCGAUUAUCUUUUCAAUUUCAUCCCCUAUCUAACCAAAUCGGGUUGAAAUCCAAUAGAUUUGGGUUAUUUUGCUAGUCCUCAAUUAUUGCUUGGACCCUGUCAACUCUAAGAUCAACUGGAUCUUCAUCAAUUGCCCUCAAACAUUUCACACGAAUAUUUCCAAAAAAUAAUCGCAAUUGGAAUUGAAAAAUUAUUUUUGUGCGGUUUUAGUUUAAUUGGUAUCGUCAUUUUUGUCAGUGUAGAAGGAUGUGGGUUCAAGUGCGUUAAAAUAUAUUAUCCUCCUAUUUAAGGGUUGGGGAAGGACUAUGAGUAGCUCUAAGCUUAUUGUAUCAAAAAGAACAAAUAUGAUUAAUGUUCAAAAACAGACCUUAAAAACCUGACUUUUUUUCUCUCUUCUUUUUUGCUUGAGAAUAUUACGGGUAAAUUUCAAUUGCAAUCCCUCUAUUUUUUUAAUUACAAAAAUGGUUAAAUUUUAAUCUGAUCCUUCUAUUUCACUCAAAUUUGAGAUUUAAUUUAUAUAUUUUAAAAUUGACAUGACUUGAUAACUCAACUUUUAUAAUGUCAUUAGUUAGUCUAAAUUUUUUUUUCUCAUUAAAACGAUGGUGUGAAUUUUUAAGAAUUGUUAGCACCAUGAAAAUUCUUUGUUAAAUUCAGGUUCAUUACAAUGUUAUUCUUUUGUUAUGUGGAUACCAAUUUAUUUUAUUUUUUUUCAAAAUGCCACACUAACAUAAAAGAAUUCUGACAAUGUUAACAAAUGGACUUAAAUUUUUAAAUUUAAAAAGUAAAGAAACUAAAUUUCUGAAAAUAAAAAUUUAGAGACUAAAUUCUAAAUAUACGAAAAAUACAAAAAUUUUAAACAAAUUAUAAUUUUUAAAAAUUUACACUAUAAUUUAAUUAAUAAUUAAUUAAUUAACUCAACAAAAAUUGUGGGUGAAACCAUAUUAGUAAGUAGUAACUGUACAUAAAAUGUAUAGGACUUGCUGUCACGUGUCACACCCAACUAUAUUCAUUUUCUAUUCUUCUUGCGUUUUUACCAAAAACUGUUGAAUUUCAGCUUUGGUCCCUUUAAUAUGUCUAAAUUUGAGAUUUAAUCUAUAUACGUUAAUUUCUAAAAUAAUUUGUCCCUUGUAGUUUUAUAAUGUUAUUAUUUAGUACAAAUAGUUAAUAUUGUUUACUUCUUUACUAAAACAUUAUGUGGUUAUAUAUAAAUUGAACACCCUAAGUCUUAGAGAGUAAUAGUGGCUUCCCAAAGUAUUUGCGUCGCAUUUUUUUUACAUUAUAAGACAAUGAUCAAAAUUUAAUUUUAACCCUAAACUAUGUUAAAACUUGAGAUUUAAUCUAUAUACUUUAUUUGUUUUUUACAUAAUUCGGUCCCUCUACUUUUAUAAAGUCAUUAGUUUGCCUAAAUUGUAACACCCCCUACCCGUAUCCAUUGCCGGAAUAGGGUACGAGGCAUUACCGGAGUUUACUGAACAUUUUCAGAUAAUUCUGAGUCAUUUAUUAUUCAUAUUUUAGAAAUAAUCAUAACGUCUCUCUAUUGGGCCCUCGAAACCCCAAACAUACAUUAGAAACCAACCGGAAUUAAAUCGGGAUUAUAAAAAAGAUUUCGCAAAAAUCUUAAAUUUUAUUUUCAUCUAAGUACUUACUAUUUCAAUGCUCCUUAUAAUUAAACAUGUUACCGUUCAAUCAAUAGUUUGGCACUUGUCUAAGCGUCAAACAACAUCAUUGUUAGUAUACUUGCACACAUUUCAUCUAAAUUCAACAUUGAUAUACUUAUUUUCUCUACAUAUCGCACUUGAGUUUAAUAAUAGUCUCAACUUACAUAAUUUCCUUGUAUCAACAUAUCAAAGAUAAUCAUAUAUGUACAUGUCAUGAAACAUAUCAUGCUCUUACCGUUUCUUCAUAAGCAUAUAUCAUUCAUUUCAUUAUAUCAAUAUUUCAUGCUCCAUCAUUUCAUAUAUUUUUAUGUAUAUUUAUUCCGGUAAUAGUUUAUAUCAAACUUGACAUAAAUUAUAUUCCAUGUACUUAUACUUAUUUCGUUUAUUUAUCUUCAUAAUUAUUUCAUACAACUGUUUUGUACAUAUAUUUCCAUAUGACCAGUUCUUGUAAACAUUUCACACAACCAUUUCAUAUAACCAUUCGUCAUCUGAUAAGUAUUACCUGAAUAUCAAUUGUUCAAUAGAUGUCAUAGCGUCUCCCAUCCACGGUCUUAUUUAUCUUUGACAUGAUGCCAUAGUGUCUUUCAACUAUGGUCUUACUCAUUCAUUUUCUGUCAUGUUGCCAUGGUAUCUUUCAACCAUGGUCUUAUUCUUUUCAUGUCACGUUGCCAUAGUGUCUUUCAACUAUGGUCUUACUCAUUCAUUUUCUGUCAUGUUGCCAUGGUAUCUUUCAAUCAUGGUCUUAUUCUUUUCAUGUCACGUUGCCAUGGUGUCUUUCAACUAUGGUCUUUCUCAUUCAUUUUCUGUCAUGUUGCCAUGAUAUCUUUCAACCAUGGUCUUAUUCUUUUCAUGUCACGUUGCCAUAGUGUCUUUCAACUAUGGUCUUACUCAUUCAUUUUCUGUCAUGUUGCCAUGGUAUCUUUCAACCAUGGUCUUAUUCUUUUUAUGUCACGUUGCCAUAGUGUCUUUCAACUAUGGUCUUACUCAUUCAUUUUCUGUCAUGUUGCCAUGGUAUCUUUCAACCAUGGUCUUAUGUUGCCAUGGUUUCUUUCAACCAUGGUCUUACACAUUUCAUAUCAGGUUGCCAUGGUAUCUUUCAACCAUGGUCUUACACAUUUCAUAUCAGAGAGCACACUCCCGCGAACCUUAUCCUUACAGUGGGAUUACCAGUCCAGGCUAAAUCCCCUGUAAUAUAAACUCAUAGAGUAUUGUCGGGAUUACCAGUCCAGGCUAAAUCCCCUGCAAUGAUAAUUACUCUAAUGAGUUUGGAUUUGAAUUACCAGUCCAGGCUAAAUUCAGACCCUAAUUCGGAUUACCCGUUCGGACUAAAUCCAUUUUACACGUAUUCUUCGGGAGGGCUGUAUCAGAAUAGGAUCACCCGUCCGGGCUAGAUCCUUUUUACCGUCAAUUCCUUUUCAGAGAUCCAUUGAAUUUUCCUUUCAUUCAACCGGGCUUUAUUUUCAAUUUAUAUCGAGUAUUAGCAAUAUUUCAUCAAUUAUCAUGAAUUGAACAUUCAAAUCAUAUUUUCGUCACAUAACCACAUAUUUCAAGUAUUUAAAAUACAAUUCAAGUUACACAAACUUACCUCAUUACUUGUUUGUGUUUAUAAUUUCAUUAAUCCGAUAUCUUUUAUUUUCCACGAUCAAGUCUUAUUUUUGAGUCGUCCGGAUCUUUAUAAAUAAAUUUGAUCAUCAUUUUCAUUCAUUUCAUAUUCUAAUGCAUUUAAUUAAUGCUCUAGGAAAAAUUACCAUUUUUCCCCUAAACUUUUAAUUAAUGGCGAUUUCAUCCUUAGGGUCAGGAAAAUAAAAUUCUUGCAAUUUAAUCCUUAUUUCUAAAUAUUACCAUGCAUUCUAUAAAAUAUCAGAAUUUUCCAUAAUUUCAACACUUUUCAAUUUAAUCCCUAAAAUAUGUUUUCCCCCGAUCUUGAACUAAAUUAAUAAUUUCAUUCAAUUUUGUAAUUUAAAUAAUAAAAUAAUCCAUUUCAUGCAAUUUGGUCAUUUUUGACAUUUUUACAAAAUUACCCAUAAAGUUUUACUUUUAUUCAAUUUAGUCCCUGAGCCUAAAACAUGCAAAUUAGCCAUGCUAGAUGAAUAUUCAUAGAUAUUUUUCCUCCUCCUCCUCUCCAUUCCACAUCCUUAGUGUAUAUAACACACUUGUAAGUAACAUUAUCUAUAAUUUUUAUUAUUUACUUUUAUGAAUAUUCAAGCCGUCCAUCUGUGUCAUAGUCACUAAAUUAUUUAUAACUCGAGCUACGAAACUUAAAAUUAAGAUCCGUUAAUUUUCCCUGAAACUAGACUCAUAUAUAUUCUUACCAUAAAAUUUUCAGAAUUUUUAGUCUAGCUAUUAGGUACAGUUUAUUCUUUAAAUUCACCCCUAUUCUGCUGUCUGACAGUUCCGACCCUUAUUCAGUAAAAAUUAAUUAUCUUACAGUACAGAACUCGGAUAAUAUUCCUGUUGAUUUAUCCUGAAAAUAGACUCAUUAUGAAUUCUAAAAAUAUAACUUUAAGCCUCUGAUUAUUUUUCUUCAAUUUUUGGUGAUUUUUCAAAGUCAGAACAGAGGAACCCAAAUUCAUUCUAACCUUGUCUCACAAAAUUCAUUAUAUCUUAUAAUUUACAAUUCAAUUGCUUACACUGUUUCUUCUAUAAGAAAAUAGACUCAAUAAGCUUUAAUUCCAUAUUUUAUUAAUCCUCUAAUUCAAUUUCUAUAAUUUUUGGUGAUUUUUCAAACUUAGACUACUGCUACUGUCCAAAAUAGUCUUAGUGCAAAAUGUUGAUUUUCUACUUUUAAUUUCAAUUUAAUCCUAACUAAAUUCACUUACUUUUCUAUCUUAAUUCAUACUUUAUUUCUACUAAAAUUUUAACUAAACUCAUACUUAACCCAGCAUAUUUUCCUAAUUUCGAAAUUUCAUCAAUUUAGUCCCUACAACAUAAAACUUAUGAAUUAAUUUACAAUUCAAUCCUUAUUUCAUUUCUAACUUGAAUUCCUAUCAAUCUAACCCCUAAUUCAUCUUUUUAUUCAACAUGAAUCAAUAUUUAAAAAUCUAAUAACUUUCAAAAUAUUCACUUAAUUUCAUCAAAACCUUGUCCCAAAGCUUCCAAAACAUCAAAAUUAAGUAAAAAAAGGCUAAAUUGACUUACCUAUUUAACUUUCAAGCCUUGAAAUCCGAAUUUUUCCCUUUUUCCUUCUUUCUUUUUUUUCCUUCCUUCUUUCUUUCCCCUGCUCUCUGUUUUCGUUUCAUCCUUUCUUUCUUUUUCUAUUCUUUUUUUUUUCUAUUUCUUUUACUUUAUAUAUAUAUUAUAAUAACUUAAUAAUAGCUAUAAUAAAAUAUCUAUUUAAUAUCCAAUAUCUAUUUUACAUUUGUAUACACAUAUAUUAUUACAUUUGUCUUUCUUUAAUCUAUUUAUUAUAUAAAUAUCUUUUACUUAAUAAUAAUAUAUAAUUUAAUAAUAUACUUAUAUAAUAAGUAAAUAUACAUGUAUUUUACAAAUUUAUGUAUAUUAGUAUCACACAUGUCACUAUACAUACCAUACAUUUGUCAACUUUUUAUUUAUUUAUCAUAUCAUAUUAAUUUAAUAAUAAUAAAUACAUUAAUAUUUACUUAAAUAAUAAGCAAAUAAAUAUAUGUAUUACAAAUGUGUGUAUUAUAUUUAUUAUACUUGUAUUUUAUUUUUGCCAUACACUUGGCGCUCUUUUUGGUUUAUUUACUUAUUUAGUCCUUUUAAUUUUCUUUAUUCUAUAAUUAAACUUUCACACUUCAUUCAAUUUAAUCAUUUUAUCUAAUUAUCCUUUAUUUAAGCUAAUUUGCUUCAUUAAACUUUAAUUAAUCACUUUCUUAACUUUGUAAAUAUUUUUUAAAAAUAUUUACAAAUCUAUUUUUCAGAAAUGGAGACCCGAAAAUGUACUUUUUUGAUAACUGUAAAAAUUCGGGUCAUUACAUAAAUAGUUAAUACUGGUCAACUAUUUCAAUCAAAAUGUUGGCGUUAAUCUAGAAAAAAAUAUUUCAUCAUGACGAUUUUGAGUGGGUAUUUUUAAGAAAAAAUUGUAAUCAAUAUUUCCAAUGUUGUUUUUUUAAUACAUGGCUACCAAGUGAAUAUAUUUUUUUUUUUAAUUUCAAAAUGUCACACUUGAAAAUUUAAUAAAAGAAAUUUAACGAUGAUAUUAAUUGGACUUGUAAUAUCCUGAAUUAGGGCCUAAUCGGAAUAGUGGUUUCGGGACCACAAAUUCGAGAUAGAAAUAAUUAUUUUAUUAUCAUUUUAAGGUCUAUGGCAUGAUUUCAUGAUUUUGUGAAAAUUUCGUUUAGAAAUUUUAUCGAUAGAGGGUCCAAUUUGAUAUUUAGGACUAAAUUGCAAAAGUUGUAAAAUGUGUGUUCUAGUUUACAAAGGUACUAAGUACUUGUGAGUAAUGGGUUUUUAAAGUGGAGGUCCUUGGAUAGUAAUUAGACCAUUAUACCAGUUUGGACAAAAAUACCUAAAGGAAGAUAAAACACAAUAGUUUUUAAUUAAGGGCAUUUUGGUCAUUUAGUUAUUAAAAUGAAUUAAAAACAAAAUUAAAAGCCAAUUUUUGUCCAUCUUCAACCCCUUGGCCGAAUUUUACAUGAGGGAGACAUAGCUAGGGUUUUUCAAGCUUCCAAGCUCGAUUGUAAGUCUAUUUUAGCUCCGUUUUUAAUGUUCUUUACGUUUUUGGAGUCCCGGUAACUUGAUUAAGCUUAUUCUAGCAAUAAUUUAAUCUAGGGUUUAUAUUUGGAAAAAUACCCAUAGGUGAAAUGUGUUUAUUUUGAUGUUUUAUGUUAGAAUAUGAAGCUUGAGAUUGUGUUAAACAACUUUUGCUAAGCGAUUUUACGUGAAAACGAGUAAAACGACAUAAUCUGUAAAAAUACCUAAUGUUCAUAAGUACAUGCUAAAGUGAGAAUUUGAUGUUGCCAUAGAAGGGAAAAAUGAUCAGCAUGCCAUAAAACAUAAGAAAAUAGGAUGAAGUUUAAUUUCCUAGCUUUGGGGUAAAAGUGUAAAUAUGUAAAAGUUUAGGGGCAAAAAUGUAAUUUUCUAAAGUUUGAGUAAAGGACUGUUUUAAUAAAUGUGAGUAUUAAAUAAGCUAAGUUUGUUAUUUUAGAUCAAGAGAAACAAGAUUCGAGUCGUGAUCGAGGGAAAAAUAAAGUUUACGAGGAAUAGGCUCGAUUUCUAACAUUUUGUACCGAGGUAAUUUCAGGUGUAAAUGUAGUAACAUAAUUGUCAUUUUAAGUAAUUUAAUGUUAUUUAUAUGAUAUGAUGAUUAUUAUCAUGAAAUAUUAUGCUUUGUGGAUUAUUAUUUAGUAAUAUGCAAAUUAUGUGAGCUACUUGAUAAAUAUGAAAUGCUAUCAAGUAUCGGUUCCGAUAUUCCGUGGAAGACAGCAAAGAUGUAUGAUUGAGGAAAAUCUCGUUUGAACCUUGGGAAUAGAUUAGGAUACAAGUGACAUGUCACUAGGAUAUUUGAGUUUCCGAACUCGUUGAGUUGAGUUCGAGUUCAUGAGAUGUAACUAGGCAUCCGAACUCGUUGAGUUGAGUCCGAGUUCACUUAUGGAUACGAACACUCGAUCUUGUUGAGUUGAGUCCGAGUUCGCUUAUGGGCGGGUUAGAUGGUAGUUUGGCUACAUAAUUUCUGCAGGCUAUUGAGUUUGUCUAGCUGCGGGUAUGGCACUUAUGUGCAUGCAACCCAUGUAUCCAAAUUAUAUUCUGAUAUGUUCAACGGGUGAAUCUUAAGUGAAUAAGGAGAAUACUUAAGACGAAGGUGACAUGUUGGUAAGUGUGGUGAAUGAGAAAAUUUGGACAGGUAUGUGCUUAAACCAUCGGGUUGAGAACUUGGUAUGAUGAAAUCGUGGUAAGAUAGUAAAUGCAAAUGUAACAUGAAUGUCUUGGUGAUAUUUAUAUAAAUGAUGUUUUAUGUUGGAUUACAUGAUUAUGUUACUUGCUAUUUACAUGUGAACUUACUAAGCAUUUAUGCUUACUCCCUCAUUUCCAUUCUUUGUAGUUUUGACAAGCCAGCUCGGAAAUUGAGAGCGGUCAGAGGCUCGCUCACACUAUCCGUGGACCAUUUUGGUAUAGUGGCGUGUAUAUUUUGAGUAUGGCAUGUAUAGCAUUAUAAUCAUUUUGUGUAUAUGAUCUUAUGAUAUGGCUAUUGGGUGGUAAGGAAAUGUUUGGUAAUGAUUAGCCAUUGGAAUGUCUAAUCAAGAUCAUAUUUGGUGUUAUAUAUACUUAAUGUGCUAUCUAAUCCAUGGAAAUUCAUAAAAAAGGUGAAAUUUGCUAUAAAAUAGUAUCAUACAACAGCAAUAACGUGAGUUUGAAAAAUCACUAAAAAUAGUAGAGAUAGAAUUAGAUGAUGAAUAAAAUAUUAAAUUGAAUCUUAUUGAGUCUAUUUGCAUAUUUAAGAAACAAAACAGGUAAAUGAGUUGUAUUUUAUGAGAAAUUUGAGUUUUGGUGGAACAGGACAGAGCGAUUUCUGAAUCCCCUAUUCUAACUUUAGAAACUCACUAAAAAAUGUAAAAAAAUAAUUAGGAGUCAUAAUUUAUAUAUAUAGAUUCCUUAUUGAGUCUAAUUUUAAUAGAAACAAACAGCAUAGUCAUCUGAAUUUUGUACAGAGAGAAAAGUGAUUCGUAGUGAACAGAGGUCAGAGCAGUCAAACACUAAAAUAGGGGAAACUUUAACUAAUAAACUGUACUAAUUGGCCUAACCAUAAAUUCUGGAAAAAAUUUAGUAAAUAGAUAUAUGAGUAUCGUUUCAGGGAAAAUUUACGGAUUUUAAUUUUGAGUUUUGUAACUCGAGAUAUGAUUUUUUGUAGCGACUGUGACGCAGAUGAGCAGUUUAUUACAAAAGGUGAAAUAAAUUGUUUGAAAUUGUUUAAGUGAUGUUAACGCCUCGUGCUCGAUUCCGGCGAUGGUCUCGGGUAAAGAGGAGUUACAUUUGGUGGUAUCAGAGCUACGAUUUAGUCAGUUCUCUGACUAACGUGGCGUAUGUACGGGUUUUGCUAUACAUGUCAUAUAUAUUGUGAUAGUGUGACGACUCUUGACCUUUAAAAUGAUUUUUUUAUAGUAAAUAGAUCCCGAUCCAGCUGUGGCCGAUGAUGUAGAGAGAAAUGCGCCAGCUCCUGCUGAAGGGGCGGUGCCGACUGAAAACCAACCUCCUACUGUUAGUCAAGGAGGAAGAGAAGGGGCUCGAGAAGCCUUUCUCCAGAUGAUGAAUGCAUGGUACACCGAGUUCGUUCGUACGAACCCGAAUGCUCAACAACCCCCUACUGUUGUUCGUUCGUUCGAGAAGCCUCCUACUGUUGUUGAGCAUUCGGGUUCGUACGAACGAACUCGGUGUACCAUGCAUUCAUCAUCUGGAGAAAGGCUUCUCGAGUCUUUUCUCUUCCUCCUUGACUAACAGUAGGAGGUCGGUUUUUAGUCGGCACCGCCCCUUUAGCAGGAGCUAGCGCAUUGCUCUCUACAUCAUCAUCCAUAGCUGGAUCGGGAUCUAUUUACUAUAAAAAAAUCAUUUUAAAGGUCAAGAGUCGCCAUCCUAUCACAAUAUAUAUAUAUGACAUGUAUAGCAAAACCCGUACAUACGCCACGUUAGUCCGAUAACCGACUAAAUCAUAGCUCUGAUACCAUUAAAUAUAACACCCCUUUACCUGAGGCUGUCGCCAGAGUCGAGCUCGAGGCGUUAACAGACUUAAAUUAUCACUUAAACAAUUUCAAACAAUUUAUUCCACCUUUUGUAAUAAACUGCCCAUCUGCGUCACAGUCACUAAAAAAAUCAUAUCUCGAGUUACAAAACUCAAAAUUAAAAUCUGUAAAUUUUUCCUGAAACUAGACUCAUAUAUCUAUUUACUAAUUUUUUUCCGUAAUUUUUGAUCAAGCCAAUUAGUACAGUUUAUUAGUUAAAGUUUCCCCUGUUUUAGUGUUCAACUUCUCUAACCUCUGUUUACUACGAAUCAUUUUUCUCUCUGUACAGAAUUCAGAUGACUAUUCCAUUUGUUUCUCUUAAAAUUAGACUCAAUAAGGAAUCUAUAAAUAUAAAGUAUGUCUUCUAAUUAUUUUUUUUACAAUUUUUAGUGAAUUUCUAAAUUCAGAACAGGGGAUUCAGAAAUCACUCUGACCCUGUUCCACUAAAACUCAAAUUUCUCAUAAAAUACAACUCAUUUACCUGUUUUGUUUCUUCCAUAUAAAAAUAGACUCAAUAAGCUUCAAUUUCAUAUUUAUUCAUCAUCUAAUUCUAUAUCUACUAAUUUUAUUUAUUUUUCAAACUCACAUCAUUGCUGUUGUAUCAUACUAUUUUAUAGCAAAUUUCACCUUUUUAUGAAUUUCUAUGGAUUAGAUAGCACAUUAAGCAUACAUAACACCAAAUAUGAUCUUGAUUAGACAUUCCAAUGGCUAAUCAUUACCAAACAUUUCCUUACCACCUAAUAGCCAUAUCAUAAGAUCAUAUACACAAAAUGAUUAUAAUGCUAUACAUGCCAUACUCAAAAUAUACAAGCCACUAUACCAAAAUGGUCCACGGAUAGUGUGAGCGAGCCUCUGACCGUUCCCAAUUUCUGAGCUGGCUUGUCAAAACUACAAAGAAUAGAAAGGAGGGAGUAAGCAUAAAUGCUUAGCAAGUUCAUAUGUAAAUAGCAAGUAACAUAAUCAUGCAAUCCAACAUAAAACAUCAUUUGUAUAAAUAUCACCAAGACAUUCAUGUUACAUUUGCAUUAAUUUACUAUCUUACCACGAUUUCAUCAUACCAAGCUCUCAACCUGAGGGUUUAAGUGCAUACCUAUCCAAAUUUUCUCAUUCAUCACACUUACCAACAUGUCACCUUCGUCUUAAGUAUUCUCUUUAUUCACUUAAGAUUUACCCAUUGAACAUAUUGGAAUAUAAUUUGGAUACAUGGAUUGCAUGCACAUAAGUGCCAUACCCGCAGCUAGACAAACUCAAUAGCCUGCGGAAAUUAUGUAGCCAAGCUACCAUGUAACCUGUCCAUAAGCGAACUUGGACUCAACUCAACGAGCUUGGGCGUUCGCAUCCAUAAGUGAACUCGGACUCAACUCAACGAGUUCGAAUGCCUAGUUACAUCUCACGAACUCGGACUCAACUCAACGAGUUCGGAACUCAAAUAUCCUAGUGACAUGUCACUUGUAUCCUAAUCUAUUCCAAAGGUUUAAACGAGAUUUUCCUCAAUCACACAUCUUUGCUGUCUUCCACGGAAUGUCGGAACUGAUACUUAAUAGCAUUUCAUAUUUAUUAAGUAGCUCACAUAAUUUGCAUAUUACUAAAUAAUAAUCCACAAAGCAUAAUAUUUCAUGAUAAUAAUCAUCAUAUCAUAUAAAUAACAUUAAACUACUUAAAAUGAAAAUUAUGUUACUACAUUUACACCUGAACUUAUCUAGGUACAAAAUGUUAGAAAUAGAGCCUAUUCCUCAUAAACUUUAUUUUUCCCUCGAUCGCGACUCGAAUCUUGUUUCUCUUGAUCUAAAAUAACAAAUUUAGCUUAUUUAAUACUCACAUUUAUUAAAACAGUCCUUUACUCAAACUUUGAAAAAAUUAUAUUUUUGCCCCUAAACUUUUACAUAUUUACACUUUUUCCCCAAGGCUCGGAAAUUAAACUUCAUCUUAUUUUCUUAUGUAUUAUGAUAUGCUGAUUAUUUUUCCCUUCUAUGGCAACAUCAAAUUCUCACUCUAACAUGUACUUAUGAACAUUAGGUAUUUUUACUGAUUAUGUCGUUUUACUCGUUUUCACGUAAAAUCGCUUAGCAAAAGUUGUUUAACACAAUUUCAAGCUUCAUAUUAUACCAUAAAACAUCAAAAUAACUCAUUUCACCUAUGGAUAUUUUUCCAAAUAUAAACUCUAUGUUAAAUUAUUGCUAGAAUAAGCUUAAUCAAGUUACCGGGAUUCAAAAAACGUAAAGAACAUUAAAAACGGGGCUAAAAUGGACUUACAAUCUAGCUUGGAAGCUUGAAAAACCCUAGAUAUGUCUUUCUCAUGUAAAAUUCGGCCAAGGGGUUGAAGAUGGACAAAAAUUGGCUUUUAAUUUUGUUUUUAAUUCAUUUUAAUAACUAAAUGACCAAAAUGCCCUUAAUUAAAAACUAUGGUGUUUUAUCUUCCUUUAGGUAUUUUUGUCCAAACUAGUAUAAUGGUCUAAUUGCUAUCCAAUGACCUCCACUUUAAAAACCCAUUACUCACAAGUACUUAGUACCUUUGUGAACUAGUACACACAUUUUACAACUUUUGCAAUUUAGUCCUAAAUAUCAAAUUGGACCCUCUAUCUAUAAAAUUUAUGAACGAAAUUUUCACACAAUCAUGAAACCAUGCCAUAGACCUUAAAAUGAUAAUAAAAUAAUUAUUUCUAUCUCGUAUUUGUGGUCCCAAAACUACUAUUCCGAUUAGGCCCUAAUUCGAGAUAUUACAGGACCUGAAAUUUUAAAUCCAAAAAGUAGAUUAGUAUAUUCUCGAAAAUAAAAGUAGGGGACUAAAUUCCAAAUGUACAACGUGUAUAGGGACUUAGAGAAUAUUUUAACAUUCGAUUUUUUACUUUAUAAUUUGACAUAAACAAAUAAUCAACCCAACGCGAAGCAUGGGCUAGGAACCACAAUAGUUUAUAUUGAAUUUUAAGUUCAAGACAAGUACAAUAGAUUUUCUUCUAACAUGGUCAAAGACAAAACCAAAAUAAUGUUGAUAGUUAAGAAAUAAAUAAAUAUAUAAUUGUUGAGGGGGAAUCGACUUCUUCCGGAGAAGUCUUCAAUGCGUCGUCCUCUAAGCAACCGAUUGAAGCCCCCAAUAAUCGAAGGUAUUGUCCUUGGGAGAGAGUUUUGUCCCCAGCCUCCACGACGAGCCAACGUGCUGUAAGUGGCUACCUUGAAAGUCUACUUCAUACAUGGGUGCCUUGAUUAUACGUGGACAUAUGACCACUUAUCGAGAGGCAAUAAAAGCAUCUCGCCUUUGGUGGAGUUUAAACCCAUCACCAAUUACAUAUAAGCCACUUAUUAGAGUAUAUCUGUCCCAUAUAGAUCACAAUGACAAUCUUUUUUAAUUCAUUUUCUUAUUCUUCUUUUUUAUCAAGCACCGUCAAUUUUAUUUUCUAUCUAAAUUUUCACUCUCAAAUUUUUUUAUUAUAAUUUUCCAUUUAACUAAAUGCAUGUUAAAUGCCAUUUUGAAAAUGAAGUGGAGCACAUGUAAAAUACAUGAAUCAAAUUGUAAAGACAAGUUUAUAAUGUAUUUAUCACAUAAAUAACUUGAAUUUGACAUGUUAAAAGAAACAUAUAGCAUCAUUAAUAGGGGUGAAUUUAGAAAAUUUCUAAACAUUGGAAUUGAAUUAUAAAUUUUUUGAAAAUUCAAAAUGUAAUUUUAUAAUGUAUUAACUUAUAAUUUCAUCAUUUUUUUAAAUAAAUAAAUAAAUAAUUUUUUUAGAAAGGUAAAGCAUAAUUUUAUCAUUACAAAUUUUAAAUUUAAUCAUUUAUAACAAAACUAAAAAGAAACCUUCUUAGGGGUGGGGUUCAAAGCCCCCAUAUCCCCCACAUUGUAUUAGCCUCUUAACAUCCAAUGAAUGUCCGAAAUUAACUUAUAUUAUUUUUUUGGUAAAAAAUAGCAGAAAUCAACUACAUCAACAUAAUUCUAAUGAGAAUUUCCUAUGGUUUCGAGUUGUUGAAGAUCAGCUAACAACAAUGCUCUAACACUCAUUGGAGGCUAUUUAAAAGUGCAACUUGUAUUUAAAUCUUCAGCAUCCAUCUUCGUUAAGUAAUCCACAACCUUAUUUUAUUCCUUUGGAAUAUGUCGGAAUUUAACUUGCAAGCCAUUCACGAGUAGAGAGUAAAUGAGUCUUACCUCUAAAAGACUAUUAUCCAUUCCAUAACCGUUGCUAAUAAUAUCAAUCAGAAUGACAUUGUUAUUUUCCACUUCAAUCUGUCUGAAACCUUUAUUCGAUGCAAUAGAAAGUCCUUCAUAGAUCGCCAUUGACUCGGUUUAAAAAAUUCCCGAUUUGCCAAUUGUCAUUGUAAAGCCAAGUAAUUAGGCUUUAUCUUGAUUUCGGAACACCCCCUACUGCAACACAGGAUUUCUUAGGAGAGAAACCUAAAUUAAUAGCUAAAUUGAUGGAAGGAGCUAAUUAUAUGAAACCAUAUUUUGAAGAUAUAAUCAAAAUUCUUUGAGGAUUAGGACCAAAUUAAAAUCUAAAUCAUAAAUUGAGAACUACUGCUGCAAUUAAUCUAAAGAGUAUCAUAUUAAGCCAAAUUUGGCAUUAACUUUAAAUUUUCUAUUUAUUUAUCAGUUUCCCUCCGUACAAGUUUUUUCCCGCGUUUCUUCGAAGGUUUCUAAUAACUUCUAUUGGUUUCCAUUUCUUAAUCCGAAAUAUAAUUUACAAAGUAUGAAGUUAAUUAUUUUUGUAAAAAAUGGAAGCUUAGUUUGCAAAUCAGAUCAAAACAUUCGGGAUUUUAGCCAUUUUUUCGGGUGAACUACGAGCGCAUCGGACUUAUUCUACUCUCGAAGGUAGAGUGGACCGACGACCCGACCCGCAUUCAGGAUUUGGGUCCUUAAUUGAUCGGAAUUACAAUCGCGCCGGAAAUCAUUUCAGUCACCGUAAUCGGAGGCUUGAUUUGAACGGCCGUGAUCCUCUCCGUCGGUAUUCCCUACGCUCACGUGGCUUCUCCCUUUCCCUACGCUCAUUGCACAUUUCCUUUAUUAACAUGUCACUUAAUGUUUGUUUUUCGUUUGGUUGCUUAGAAAAGAAAAACCGAAAAGGAAAAAAUAAGUAUACGAAUUAAUAGAUGUUCUUGGAAGUGAAAAUAGAUUGAAUUUUCAUUUUGUUGAAAUAAAAUUUUGAUUAAUUAAUUUAUUUUGCUUUGAAAAUCAGUAGCUUAAAGCUAAAUCUAUUAGUUGAAUUACCGAAAAGUAGUUAUGUAAUGUAAAAUUUUCUCGAUACUUUAUCUGAGUUCUGAGCCCUAAGCUAAAUUGCUGUAAAUUUCAUCCAAUAACAUAUAAUAUAUAUACAGAUAGAUAAGAUUGCUUGAUAUUUCAUUACUUUGUGAUUUGCUUUUACUUUGGGGAAAUUACUUAACAGUUAAGUGCAUUGAGCUAGUGUUGCUAUCUCUUCUUCAGUAAUGAAUAUUUUGAGUUUCUUUCAUUGAAAUGCUAUAAUGAAUUUGGCUUUGUAAUGCAGCAACCAGUUUGUCUAAGUAGUUCAAGUAGGCCACGUUUAAGUUCGAACUAGCGACUGCCCGGAGUUUUGCUGCGAGUAAAAGGCGCGUCCAUUUCUUCAAACAGGUUGGUGCUUAGAGCUCUCUGCAAGUUUCAAAUUCAUAGCACUUACAUUGGUUGUUUUUACUGUGAUUAUUUACCAUGUCAAGUAGAACUAGUAGUUCUGCAAGUUUGAAACUCAUAGCAUUUGCAUUAAUGCACUUAUGGCACUUUUAUUGCUUUUGCUGCACUAGUUGAACGAAAAAUGUAUUCUCCAGUCUUACUUUGACACCAAUUUCCAUUCAACCCGUUUAAAUUCUCGAAGGACAGCAUAUCAUAUCUAUAAUUUUCUGAACUCUACUAGAAUCCAAAUCAUGAUUUUGCUCUUUUGUUCUACUUUUAUUUCGUGGGAUUUGUUGAGUGGUGCAAAAUGAUCAAAAGGGAGGCAACUAUUAAACUAUCAACUUGUGUCAUAAUCUGUAUAGGACGAUUCAGUGUCAUAUAUGGUUGAUUGUGAUCCAUUAUUGUUGCUGCAUCCAUAAAAUGAAAUUGUGGGUCUGACUGGGUUUAGCAAUAAGGAAAAGAGGUACAAUGUGAUCUUUUAGGAAGAUAGAUGGCUUGGGUUAUCACCGGUUUAUGCAUGGAUCAAUUUCAUAGGAGUAACCUAUCAUGCACUCUGAUGCAGCAAUUUGUCGGUUGCAUUGUCACUAGUGUAUUCAAUUUUCAAUAAUUGUUUUGGCGCUUGAUACCCUAGCUAUUUUUUAUAGAAUUGCCCGCUAUAAUCAUCAUGUUUCAACAGACUUUUUUUUGUCCCUCUUUAGACAUUAGAUAUUCUGGUAAAAUUUUGCUAUUAGUCCGUGUACUAUGCACAAGUUGUAAAUUUUUGUACUUAUACUUUAAUUUAGUCAUUUUUAGUCUUUGUACUUUUUAAAUUUUAAAAAUUUAGUCCUAAACAAUGACUGAUAAAUUCAUUAAGUUAAAAUUUGUUAUUUCCAACAUCUUAUGCCACAAACAUAUUAUCACGUUUGUAAUUCUAUGUCAACUUACUAUUUUCACACAAUGCUUCAAGAAAAUCGUUUCAUAGUAGUUAAUAAAUUUAAUAGCUCUUAUUUGAGUUAAGAUUAAAAUUUAAUAAAAUUUAAUAGCUCUUGUUUGAGUCAAGAUUGAAAUUUUAAAAUUUAAAAAAUAUAAAGAUUAAAAAUAUCAAUUUGAAGGACGUGGAUUAAAUCCACAAUUUAACGUCAUAGUAUGGAACUAAUAGCAGAAAUUUUAGAGUACAUAGACUAAAACCUGCAACUUACAUAUAGAACAUGGACCAAUAGCAGAAUUUGACCAUUUAUUUAUAUUCUUGAACAGAUUAAAUUCACUCUUUUUGUGCUCAAAAAAAAUCUGUCAUUACUUUGAGCCUACUUCUGUUAAUGCAUUAAAUCAGAUAUUUCUUUUGCUACUCCCCAGCUAUUAGUAGUACCAUAAUUUCCAGGCCCACUGCUGCUUGACUGGCAUCACUAACAACCAUUACCGUCCAGUCCCACUGCCGGUGUGCUUCCCAUGUAGUAUAUUAUUGUUAUUUACAUCACUUUCCACUGCCACUACUACCCAGCUACUUCUGCUGUGACUUCCUAGUAAAUUAGCAUUACUAACCAUGUAGACCACUAGAACUUGUGACACUCAGUAAUGGGGAUAUCCAUGUUUCUGUCUUUCAUUAAGCAGUGGGCUACUUCAAAGUCCAAACUGCGGUUUAAACAUUUUGUACUUUUUUUUCCCUUUUUCGUUUUCUAAUUUACUCAUUUAGUCCUUGUUUUAAUUUUUUGAAUUUUCUUUCUGAAUCAGAAAUCAGUAUUUUGAUAGAUUUGAACGUCGAUUUAAUUUUUGCGACACAGCUAUCAUGUAGGCAGAGGUGUCGUUCACUAGACUUGCUUAGAUCCUUGGGUUAGAGCUUGUGGGAACUGACCUUACUAUAGAAAAAGCAUAUACUAUCUCUAUUAUGUACCCAAUUGCAAGGUAUUUGAAUUAAAUCCCACUUAAAAAGUAUGAGAUUUUUAGUGAAAUUUAUAUGAACCAUGUUUGUCUCAACUUCAACAACUAGCUUUUGAGAUAUAAUUCUCCAUUGAUCUAUAUUUGUUAGUGCUUCAGUUUCCUUAACUUUGAUAGCGUGUGAACUUUCAAAUGUAAAGUAUCUAUCGGUUUCAAUGUCCCUUUCCUUGCUUGACUAACCUGCCCUACUUGUUUUCCAAAAUAGACUAAAACCAAAUUGUUUUAUGUUGUUGUCAGCUACAGUAUUGGUACUCACCAUGCUCUGUGUCUCAACCUCUAUGUUAAAACCUUUUUCCUUGAAAUUUCUUAGGCAAUUUUGGACACAUAACAAACAUAAAAAACAAUACAAAUAUAUAAUAUUAAUAUAAAAGUAUGUCAAUAGUAAGUUUAAGGUCAAAAUAUAUCAUAAGUACUUAUACUUUUCAAAAAUUUAAAAUUUAGUCUUUGUAUUUUUUAUUUCUAAAAAUUUAGUCUCUUUAUUUUGUUAAAUUUAGAUUUAUUAUAAUGUUAUUUUUUUAGUUACAUAACUAUAAAAUGAAUUUUUUUAAAUGUUACACUAAUAAAUAUAAUAAAAAAAUUUAACAAUGUUAACAAUUAAAUCUAGAUUUUAAAAUUUAAAAAAAAUGAUUAAAUUACUAAAAAUAAAAAUAUAAGGAUUAAAUUCUAAAUUAGGUAGAAAAAAUUUACCUAAUCUGAUAUGAUGUUUAUCAUGAUUUGAAAGUUUUGUAUUAAAAUGCCCAUUUCCCCACACGAGAAAUGUCACAUGUAUCACAACUUGUUAGGAUCAUUAUUUAUAAUAAACAUAAAAGCAGAUGUAAAUCAUAUCCCUCAUUUGACUCUCUAGAGGCAAAAAGAGGGAAGCAUAUUAUACUCCACUUAAUAUAUUGAACAUAUACUCUUCCUUUUUCAAUUGUAUAAAAUAUUCAUUUAAAAUAAUCUUUAUCAUGAAGAAAGCUAAAAAGAAACUUAAAGGAAAAAAUGAAAAAAAGGGGAAAAUGAAAGUUUAUGUUUUACAGAAGAUCCUUAUACUAUGAAUUUUUUGUAUAUCUAGUCCUUCUAUUAUAAUUUAAUAUUUCUACUCCUAUUUUACCAAACAGGUAUUUUUAGUUUCGAUGUCAACUUUUUCUUCUAAUUUUGCUAAAUAUUAUAAUAGGAUAUAGCACUUGACUCUACAUCCACAUUUUGUACAAUUAGAUAUUAUUUUUGUAUAUUUAGAAAAAGAAUAAAAAUUAUAAUAAAGUGUAUAAAAAACAAUGCAAAAGUGAUAAUGUAUUUAAAUAUUAAGGUAAAAUUAGUCUCAAGUUAGAUCCAUGACAACCCACUACCUCUACCCCUAUAAGCAUUAAUAAAAGUGAUUGAGGGUUAAAAAUUAUCAAAGUAUGGAAAAGGGGACUAAAUCCGAAAAAAUGAAAAUUCAGAGUCUUUUUAUGAAAUUUUACCAAAAUGAAAACGGAAACUUAAACGCGUAGAGUACAGCAGUAUUCGGGUCUUUGGUCAUCUUCCUCUUCACGCGGCAUCUUCCCCUUUAAUCGCCACUCUCUCUCUCUCUUUAUAUAUCUUUAAAAACCAUUCUUCAACCUAACAAAAAAAACCACAGCAACAAAAAAGAAAACCAUACAAACAAAUCCUGAAAGACUCUCUCUUUACAACGUAAAGAGCAAAAACCCCAACAGCAAAACGUGUAGCAAUAAGGUAAAAACACGGUAGGGAAGGAAGGUUGUUAAUAUAUACAUAUAAAAGUUAUAACGGAGAAAAGGUCGAACGAUUCAAAAAAACCCAACGAUGGCUAUGAUGUUACGGUCGCUCGCUAGGCCGCUUGAACGUUGCCUUGGGUUAAGGGCCGGUGGGGAUGGUCUCAUGUGGCACACUGAUCUUAAACCUCAUGCUUCCGGCGAUUACUCUAUCGCCGUCGUUCAAGCCAAUAAAAACCUUGAAGAUCAAAGCCAAGUCUUUACAUCUCCUUUGGGUACCUAUGUUGGUGUUUAUGAUGGUCAUGGCGGACCCGAAGCUUCCAGAUUUGUAAACAAGCAUCUUUUCCCAUUUCUCCACAGUAAUUGUUCUUUGACCCUUUUAAUCUUUUUCUUAAUUCUUUUUUCUGGUUUUUUUUUUAGAUUAUCUGAAAUGGGGUUUUCUUUGCAUGUAAUUUUUCAAGAUUCAAAUAUUCUUUUGUGUUUUAAUGGGCAAAGAGAAUUUUGGGUUUUUGUCAGUUUAUGAUAUUUUGAACAACUUCCAAGUGUAUCAUGCACGGUUAUUUAGUUGUUAUUUGUGUAUAUGAAUGAAUAUGAAUUACUUUGUCUAAAUAUAAAUCUUUAUGCUUUUGAAAUUGGAAUUUGGUUCUCAAGAUUCUAAAACCAUUCAGUUUAAUUUCAAUUUUUGGCACCUUUCACCUCCUUGCUUUAUUGGGUUUUGUCAGUGAAUGGUUGUGUUCUUGUUUUAAUUUUUCUAUGUCUUAAUUGUAGAAUUUGCUACAGAGCAAGGGGGAUUAUCUGCAGACGUGAUAAAGAAGGCGUUCAAUGCUACUGAAGAAGAGUUUUUACAUUUGGUGAAGCAAUCAUUGCCCGUAAGGCCUCAAAUUGCUUCAGUUGGAUCAUGUUGCCUUGUUGGUGCGAUAUCCAACGAUGUGUUGUAUGUGGCGAAUCUCGGCGACUCGAGAGCAGUUCUUGGCAAAAGAGUUUCGGAGGAUAAGAAAAACAAGGUUGUGGCGGAGAGGCUAUCAACAGAUCACAAUGUUGGAGUUGAGGAAGUAAGGAAAGAGGUUGAGGCUCUUCAUCCUGAUGAUUCGCAUGUCGUGGUUUACACUCGCGGAGUUUGGAGGAUUAAGGGCAUAAUCCAGGUACUUAACAAAAUCUGUUGGCAAACCCAAUUAUAAGAGUUUUAAGUUGAAUCAGCCAGGUUGAAGAACAGUUCAUGUUUUGGUUCGAUGAAUUCGAUGGAUUUGCAUAUACAUCUUUCUUUCCAGACAUUGCUUGUAUGUUUAUAGAAGAGGUACAUUUACAAAACAACUAUGCAUUGUGCAUCCUCUGAAUCAUAAUGCUAAGCUUAUGCGACUAUAUGGAGUCUUCUCUCUUUUCUUUUUCGGGUUUUUUGGGCUCCUUUUGUUGAUUUCUUUCCCCUUUAACUUCAGCAGUUAAAUGGUUCUCUGUAAUGGAUAAUGUUGGUCUAAGCAUUGAACUUAUUUUUUUAUUCAGGUGUCAAGAUCUAUAGGUGAUGUUUACUUGAAGAAACCGGAUUUUUAUAGAGAUCCAAUCUUUCAACGAUUCGGAAACCCUGUUCCCCUUAAAAGACCAGUUAUCACGGCAGAACCCUCCAUCCUUAUUAGAAAGCUUAAGCCGCAAGACUUAUUUCUGAUCUUUGCAUCAGAUGGCCUAUGGGAACAGUUGAGCGAUGAAACUGCCGUAGACAUUGUUUUCAGAAACCCCCGAGCCGUGAGUAUUCACCUUUGUCUUAUUGGUUAAUUUAGUCUUCAUUAGCAGCUGGACUGAAUGACAGAGUAUUGAUUUUCAAUUUGCUUGUAUUACUUGCAGGGUAUUGCUAAGAGACUGGUAAGUGCUGCACUUCGAGAAGUUGCAAAGAAAAGAGAGAUGAGAUACGGCGAUAUUAAGAAAAUCGAGAAGGGAAUAAGACGGCAUUUCCAUGACGAUAUAACCGUAAUCGUCAUCUACCUAGAUCAACACCGAGGCUCUUCACAUAACAUAGUUAAACAUAAUGCCAUGGGGUGCACGACGGCACCAAUCGACAUCUAUUCAUACAAUGCAGAUGAAGGAUAUGAAGGAGAUUUACUUCAAACAGUUUCUUGAAUACACAAUAGAAUGAGUUAAUAUUAGGUUUAGCACACUGACUUUUUAUUCUUUUUCAAGUUUUAUUCAUGUAUAGAGAAACCAAAUGAUAGGGUGGAUUGGUCCUUAAACCAAUGUUUCAUUGGGAGAAAAAUAGAGUUUGGAAGGUAAUUUUAGCCACCUGAGACGGAUUCCGACUCUGGUGGCUAUAGGUGUUCCGGUUGAAGUUCUACCGGUUGCCGAAAAGGCUACAUUGUUUUAUUGGUUUAUUAAAUUUAUCGCUUAUAUUAUAUUUAAUUUGAAGUGAGUAACUAAAGACAAUUAAUCACGUUAUAAAUAUUUUUCUUAGUCAAUUAUACAUAAUUUUGAUCGGUGUAAUAAUAAAUUUAACUCUUAAUAUUCAUAUAAUUUGUGUAGAUAUUGAUAGAAUAUGUAAAUAUUGCAAAUUAACAUUGUUAAAUCAUGACCAAAUUGACAAAAUAUGUAAAUGUUAUGGGUUAAAUUUGUUAAAUCAAUAUCAAGUUGAUAGGAUAUGUAAAUAUUAAAAGUUAAUUUUGUUACUAUAUCGAUAGAAAAAGUAUAAUUGAUGAAAAAAUAUUAAUGUUAUGAUUAAUCGUUAUUAGUUGCUUACUUUCAAAAUUGACAAUGAUUAAAUUGCUCUGACUUUUUUUUAAAAUGAUCAAUUUGCUCAAAAUGAAAAUUGAGAGGAAUCUAAAAGUCUUUGUACCCCGUUCUUAUACAAUACCAUAUAUAAGUUGUGAAUUUAGUUUUUGUACAUUAAUUUAAUCAAUUUCAGUCUUUGUUCUUUUUAAAUUUAAAGUUUUAGUUAUAAUUCAAAUUGUAAAUGAAAUUCGUUUCAUUAUAUUAUGUUAUUGGUCUUAUACUAUAAUUACAGUUGUCAAUUUAAUUCAUAUUUUUUAAUUUUAUCUUUUUUAGUUGUUAUACUUUUAAAAUUUUAAUGCAAACGAAAAUAGUUAAAUCUAUUAAACGUAGAUUUACUAUGUGUGCAAUAUAUGAAAAUAGCAGCUAUUAUUUGAUCAAGACUAAAAUUGAAUAAUACGAAAAAUACAAAAAUUAAAAUUAAAUAAAUUAAAAGAUAGAGAUUAAACUCGCAAUUUAUUCAUAAUACAUGAACUAAUAACAUAAUUUAACUUAUUUUUCUUAAUACUCUUAAAUUAAAAAUGACACUUAAUAAACUACAGGAGUUAGGUGAAAUGACAAAAGUCUCUACUACAUUAACCAGUGGUUGAAAGUUUGAUCAUCAUAUUGACUCUUAGUCUACAUUUACCCUUUUAAAGGACUUAUAAAAUGUAAAAAAUUAAUUAUUUGACUCGCUCUAGGAACCUAAUAACACUACAAAGUUGGCUUGUAAUUUGUGUAUCUAAAACAAAAGGGAAAAAAUGUUUUGUGAGGCAAAUUCCUUCAAACUGAAAGACAUGGGAAUUUUGGCAACUGGAUAGCAAUAACCUAACUUGUUAGGUGAAACGAACCAAACUAAAGCAUAAACGACAAUCAGUUGCGCUAAAGUUAGGAUGUCUGUCACUUUUUAAUUUUUAUUAUACAACUUGCUUCACUAAACAAAUACUAUUUAAUGAACUUUUUAAUAUUCUCACUCUACUUUUCAAUAAUUCAUAAAGCUAAUAAAUAUAUUAUAUUCUUUCAAAUUACUUUUCUUUAAAUUAUUUUUUUCUUUAUUUUAAUUGAAAAUUUUUAUUGUAUUAAUUUCAUAAAAAUAUUCAAAAUUUUAAUUUAUUCUUUGAUUUCUAAAUGUGUUUAGACAUUAAAUAUUAGUUUUGAUAUGAUGUAAAGUAUGCCUAAAUUAAAUUGUAAAUUUAUGUAUACUUACAUCAUUAAUAACUUAAAUCUUAUGCGUUAAAAAAAUACUGUUAAUAAAUUUUAAGAUGAUUAACACUUUAAACUGUUAAAACGAUUUUUAAGUAAAAAUCAUGUUGGUACUCUAACCGGAAUGGUUAUACUCUAGCUACUUGGGUUAACUGAUAAUAUUAUAAAAAGUAGAGGAUUAAAUUACAUCAAAUAAAAUUAUGGAGAUUAAAUUUUAAAUUUGAGCAUAAUAGAGGGAUCAAAACUACAAUUUAACUCUUUUUAAGUUCAAAUAUUUUGUUAAAUGAUUAAAUCACUAUUUGAGGCUUGAACUUGAAACCUACUUCUAUAUUGGGGUUUGAACUUUUUUUUGUCUAAAUUGGUCUCUAUACUUAGUAAUUGUUCUUAUAUUGGGGUUUGAACUAGGCCAUUGUUUUUAGGGGUCGGGAUUAAAUUGUUUAAUUUUACAGUAAUAAAAAUGUAAUUUCACUAUUUUAAUAAUCUAUCUUUAUAAAUUUUAAAGGUUUAAAUCAAUUUUUUUAUCAUUUGAGAGGUUAAAGUGUAAUUUUACCUUAUUAAUUUAAAAUUUUAUAAAUUAUAAAGAGUUUAAAUGAAAAAUUUUCUAUUUUAGGGGAAGCUAGGAUCUUGCCAGCCCUAGCUUUGACUUGAACUUGGCAGUUGUUUUAGGGCUUAAACUUAACAAUUGUUCCUACAUUGAGGCCUAAGCUUUAGAGUUUUCAAAGAAACAUCAAAGACUAACUUGAAAAAAAAAAUUAAACCCCAAUAUAAAAAUAAUUACUAAAUUUAGGGACUAACAUAAAAAAAUUAGACCCAAUAUAAAAAUAGUUACCAAUUUUAGGAAAAAAAAAGUGAUUUAGCCCUUUGCCCAACCCCAUUCAAGUUACCAAACGAGAGGAAAAGAACAAAUUCCUAGAAAAUCUACAAUUUUGUGCGCUAGAAAAGAAAAUACAAAUAGUCGUUUCAGUAUAAUUUUCUCGGAAAAUAACCAAAACCCAGUCCUUUAAGCUUCAACGUCCAAAGAAAAAAAGAAUGACUGCAAGUCAUUUGGUUGCUGAAUCCGUGUGGAAAACAAUAGAGUCAACUCAUUCAGGUCUUUCUUUUUUUCCCCCCUUAUUUAUUCUUUCUCUGUAGAAAUUAAAUUCCAUCUUCUUCUUUUUUCCUUUUUUAAAUCCCUAAAUUUUGUGAUCUUAUGACCCAAAUUGGCCAGUAAAUGAAGAGCAACUAUCAAUGUAAGGAAUAAUCAUUUUCUUUUAAAUCUUUUUAUUCUUCGGCUUUUUAAAAUAAAAAUAAAAAUAAAAAUGGUGGGUAUUGAUUAAUUUUGAACUUUCUUUUAUUGUAGCUUGCAUUUUCUGUUUGGUAAAAACUUCGAGAGAGCAACAAGGAUAGUUGACCAAAGGGGUGUCAAGAAAAUCUCCGGUGAACCCAGUGGUCGUUUUAUCUUUCAGGUUCAUUCUCUUUGUUUCUAUCUCAAUUUUUGAAUAUUGGUCGAAUUCUCCUAUUAGUCCAUGCACUCUGCAUAAAUUGCAGAUUUAAUCCAUGUUCCUUGAUUUAAUGUUUUUAAUGAUUUUUUUUCUAAUUUUAAAACUUUAAUUUUAGUCUCAUGUUAUAUCUAUUUAAUUAAAUUAAAUUAUUUUAUUUCAGUUAAUAAUUAUUUUAUUCUAUAAGGUUAGGACAGAAAAAUCUAAAUAUUAUAAAAUUAAAUUGAUCAAAUUAAAAUAUGUAGACUAAAUCUGUAAUUUAGGCAUAGUAUAUAUAAUAAGGGCAGAAUUUGACAUAGAAUAUUUGGACAAGUCGGCUACCUUAUGUGAAAAAUGUGGUCAUUUUGGCAAAUAUUCCAUUUUAAGAACUUUCCUGGAAAGUUUUCUGAAAAUGUGAGCCUUGAGAUAAAACCCGAAGUAGAAUUAAGACACAUCAAUAUAUAUAUCCAUUUGUAUAUCUCAAUAUAUAUAUAUAUAUAUAACAUACGCAUGUCUAGUUAGAAUAUUUAGACAAGUUGUCGGCCACCUUAUCUGUAAAAUGUGAUCAUUUUGGCAAAUAUUCCAUAUUUAAGAACUUUCCUGGAAAAUUUUCUGAAACUAUGACCCAUCAAGGCUCUUGGCAGAAUCGUAAGAUAAAACCUGAAGCAGAAUUGAGACACAUCAAUAUAUAUAUCCAUUUGUAUAUCUCAAUAGAUAUACACAUACGCAUGUGUGGUUAGAAUAUUUGGACAAGUUGUCCUCUACCUUAUCUGUAAAAUGUGAUCAUUUUAGCAAAUAUUCCAUCUUAAGAACUUUCCUGGAAAUUUUUCUGAAACUAUGACCCAUCAAGGCUCUUAGCAGAAUGGUGAGAUAAAACCCGAAGCAGAAUUGAGACACUUCAAUAUAUAUCCAAUUGUAUAUCUCAAUAUAUAUAUACAUACGCAUGUCUAGUUAGACUAUUUGGACAAGUUGUCAUCUAUCUUAUCUGUAAAAUGUGAUUAUUUUAGCAAAUAUUCCAUCUUAAGAACUUUCCUGGAAAAUUUUCUGAAACUAUGACCCAUCAAGACUCUUAGCAGAGUCGUGAGAUAGAACCCGAAGCAGAACUGAGACACAUCAAUAUAUAUAUCCAUUUGUUAUAUAUAUACAUACGCAUGUCUAGUUAGAAUAUUUGGUCAAGUUGUCAUCUACCUUAUCUGUAAAAUGUGAUCAUUUUAGCAAACAUUCCAUCUUAAGAACUUUACUGGAAAUUUUUCUGAAACUAUGACUCAUCAAGGCUCUUAGCAGAGUCGUGAGGUAAAACCCAAAGCAGAAUUGAGCCACACCAAUAUAUAUAUAUCCAUUUGUAUAUCUCAAUAUAUAUAUACACAUACGCGUGUCUAGUUAGAAUUUUGGACAAGUUAUCUACCUUAUCUGUAAAAUGUGAUCAUUUUAGCAAAUAUUCCAUCUUAAGAACUUUCCUGGAAAUUUUUCUGAAACUUUUUUUUUCCCAUUGUUUGGUGCUUUAGGUUGUGGGAGAAUCUAGAAGAAAAGAAGAAUAUUUCUGUUUUGCUGAACAUUAUUGUGCUUGUUAUUCAUUCUUUUAUGAUGUAAUUAACAGAGCAGAACAGCUUUGUGUAAGAUUUCUUUAUUCCCUUUUCCCCCUUAUUUUAUUGCAUUUAAUAUAUAGGUAAAAAUUUUGAAAUUGAGCAAAUUGGUCCCUCUAAAAAAUUAUAGCAAUUUAUCUUUGUCAAUUCCGAAAGUGAGCAACUAAAAACAAUUAAUCAAAUUUGUUAAAUCAGAACAAAAUGGAAAGAAUAUGUAAACUUUGAGAGCUAAAUUAUUUAUUAUACCAAUUAAAUUUAUGUACAAUUGAUGAAAAACAUUAAUUUUGUGAUUAAUUAUUCUUAGCUGCUCACUUUUGAAUUAAAAGGGAUUAAAUUACUCCAAUUUUUUUAGAGGACUCAAUAUGCUCAAUUUGAAAAUUGAGAGGGACUGAACUAUAUAUAUUUGCUUUAUUUUCAUAUUUUGUUUUGUUUUUUGUAUAGUGUAAGCAUCAAUUAGCUGCAAGGCUUGCUGGAUCAUUGGGAGCUUGUAUUGAAGUUAAAGUGUCUGAUGAACAGCUAGCUGUAUUACUUUCAGAGCUCUAAAUUUUUGUAGUAAAAUCGUAGCGGGUCGGAUCCGAAAUUUAAUCUAGUCGGUUUAUGCAGUUACCUUUAAAGAAAUGACAUUUAAUAAAUAUGAUUUAAUUUUCGAUAAAUAAAAAUAUUGUUUGUAUGUUUCACAACAAAAAGAAUGAACAAAUUAUAAUCAUCAAAUCAAGGGACAAUAUUGUGAGUUUUCAUCUUUUUAAUCCAUGAAUUGAACGACGUUUUCGAGUUCCGGAACCCCACAAAUCCAUGUUCUUUGCUCUUGUUCAUGCUAUCCAACAGUGACUUCCCCGAAAGCACCGAAUCAACGAACUGCCAUGCUCCGGCAUCAUUCAAUUUCAUCGGCAAAAGAUCGUUCUCCCUCACGAUGUUGUCCCACACCGGACCUUUGUCUUUCAUCAUUUCAACCAAGCUUGGCACCUUCUCUUCGGUUUCUUGAAAUCCGUAGUGUUCGAUACCAAACUGGUCAGCUAACACUUUCCAUAAGUCCUUCCACUUGAACACAUCUCCAUUGCUACAAUUAAAGGCUUCGUUUUUUGCUCGCCGGCUCAUUGCUGCCCAUAUUUGAUGUUCUGCAAUCAAAUCCGCAUCCGAUGCAUCCCAAUACCCUUCCCACGCUUGUCGGUUCCCCGGAAACCUCAACGGCUCGCCUUCAUGCUUACAUAUCGCCGCGUAAAUGCAUAAACUCCGAACUAUAUUCAUCGAACUAAACGGAGAAAACCCAAAAACCAAUCCUGGCCUAUGACCUGACCAUGUCAAGUUCUCCUUCUGCUUCACUUCUUCCAACAAAACAUCCUCGAGCGUAUAACAAAAGUUUGACGAUUUAAGCCUCGGAAGAUCCUCGCGAAAAGGAGGAUCAUGCGGCUGAACAUGAUAUUUUCCGUACAAAUCAAUCGGACCAGUGUAAUGCCGCCGACCGGUUUGCAAGCAUAUAUGUUUCAACUUGGGUGAAUUCGGGAUUACCGCUUUCAACACGUUCCGUAACAUAGUGCCAUUGAUAACGCAGUUUUCAUCUUCAGUUGAUCUCUUAUCCCAUGCAACAUAAAACACAUGAGUCACAUCAUUAAGCUUUGAUAAUUUAUCAUAUGUUUCUUCUUCAUCUAAAACAUCGCAUUGUAUGUACUCAAUAGGCAAAUGACUAGUCGAGGCUGGUCGAGGCUGACGAGCAACACCGUAGACCUUCCACGGUCCGCCGGGAAUACCGGAGAACGGAAGAAUCUCGGCGAGACUGUUACCGACUAUGCCGGUGAUGCCAAUGACCAAAGCAACACUCUUGUAUUUGGAUUGUUUAUCAUGUUCUUCCAUUUUCUUCUGUAAAAAAAAAAAAAAAUCUGGGUUCAUUAGAUUAAAUGCAAAGAAAGAGAACCCAAAAAAAUGAAUGAGCAUUAACGUACCUUGGCAGCACCAAUGGCUCCUGCCCACCACCAACUCAUUGUAUGUUUUUUUUUUUUUUUUUUGCUAUUAAUGAAAAAAAUGCUGAAUUACAUCCUUAAACUUUGUCUGCAAUGUUUUUAUAGUGAUCCGCUUUGACAAAAGUGACGUGGGAAUUUAAAAAAGGAAAAAAAAACAAUCUUAUCUAUUUACAUAUAUCAACUACAGCUCAACAAGAACUUGUUAUCAAUUUGAUUUCUUUAUAAUAAUAAUAAUAAUAAUAAUAAUAAUAAUAAUUUUAGUUCGGAUAAAUUAUAAAAAUAAUCACUUUUGUUUGUCUCUGAUUACAUUUUAGUCACUUAUGUUAUCGUUUUGUUACGAAGUGGUUACUCUACCGUUAAACUCCGUUACCUCCCUAACGGUAGUCCUAUGUGACAAUCUAAAUGGAUUCUAAAUACCAACUUAGAUGUACUACGUGACAAUCUAAAUUAAAUUUAUUUAAUUAAAAAUCUAUUAUCAUCCCAAUUACUGGACAUUUAAAUUGUCAUUAAAAAUCUAUUUGGACUGCCAUGUAAGAUAACUGUUAAGGAUGUAAUGAAGCUUAAUAGUAAAGUGAUUACUUUAUAACAAACGAUAACGUAAGUGACUAAAACGUAACAUUUUAAACAUAAAUGACUAAAAUGUAAUAUGAGGCAAAUAACAAUGACUAUUUUUACAGUUUACCCUUUUAUUUUUAAUUUAUUUGAAUAAACAUGGAUACAACACAUAUAUAUUAUAUAAAAUAAAUUAAGUGGCGGAAUUUUUUUAAAAAAUUCAGAAAGGACGUGGAAAAUGGGUUAAUUGAUGAAUAAAUGUGUAAAUCCUUCAAUAAUUGAAUUGGUCAUAUUAUUAUUAUUAUUAUUUAUUUUUUAAAACCGGCCAACACAUAAAGACUAAGGAUUAGACAGCUAGUAAACACAUCAGCAUAUAAUAAGCUUGCGUGGAGAACCUAGCGUCUAAGGAAACAAUACAUCGUUAUCUAUUCACUAAAUCUUCUAAUGCUAUGCAAAAAAAGGAUAGAAUUUUGUGAAUUUUAUAAUUGGAAAGUUGGAUUAUGUUCGGUUUGUAUUUAAGGAUAGGAAAUUAAUAUGAAAUUUGGCUCUUUUUUUUUUUUUAAAUUGUAUUCCAAGUUAGUUUUUUACAUAAGUCAAACAAAACAUUUUAAGAAUAUUUCUUUUAAGCGGAUUGAAUUUUAGUUUAAUUAGCAUAAGUAUUAUUGUUAAUAUCAGAGAAUAUAGAUUUAAGUAUGUUGAAACGUUAGGUCCGUUCUUGACAUUGUUGGGGCCUUAGAGAAAAUAAUAAAAUAGGUUUUAAGUUCCUUAAAAGUUAGAGAAUUUUAAAAAAAUAAUUUUAGGCUCCUUAACAACUAGAAAACAAUAUUUUAGACCCCUUUCAGUCUUGGGCCUGGGAGGCCGCACCUCCAGAUAACCCUCAGAGUCGACUUGUAAAGUGCAUUAUCCUCUUAUUUAUAGGUUCGAGUGGGAUAUGAUUAGAAUCUAUAAUGAGAUUGUUAAAAAAAAUAAUUUUAAAGCAAAAAAGUUUUAAGAUGGAUUGUGAAUUUAAGGUUUUUUUUAAUGGUUACAAGUUGCUUGGAAACAAAAUAUUAGUAAAUUAGAACAGAAAAAUAAAUAAAUAAAUUGAAAAAAUUUAGUUUGCCGAUAUGAUAAAUUAAUUUUGUUUAACAUUCGUUGUAACAGCGGUUAGAACGAAAACAAGCAACAAAAAAAAAAGAGAAAAAAAGAACCGACAUAAUUAAUCUUUGUUAACGCAAUUUACACACAGUGGUCCCACAUUUGUGGAAUUUCGCCCAGUGAAUAAUUUUAUUCAACAAUCGUUCGGAUCACCUAUUGGCUUAAACUCAAUUACCUUUACACAAAAGAAGUAAUUCAAGCUUCAAUACUGACCCCUAUUGUCACAAAUCACUCACCCAAAUACCUCAUAAUAUGAUAGACUUUAAGCUCCUAUUUAAAAGCUGAAAUUAUCUCAUUGAUCGUCCUGAGUCUUAGUACCCUAGGGUGAAUCAAACUCAGUAUAAACGAAACCUAUUCAAGGCCCAAAUCAAUACCUAAGUAGAGAAACAGUUUCGUUAUAAUUGGACAUAAAACGAGCAGCAAUUAUCCCAACAAAAACAUAUUGUGGAGAGCAAGCUAAAAGAGAAACUUAUUCCUAAGUUGGCAAAUGCAAAUGCAAUUGCUCAGCUGUUUGUUUCAUGCAAAACUUAGUUGGCAAUUAACAAAUUCAAAUAGGCUCAACAUCUUUAACCUAAUUGCAAUUUGAAUUCCUUCCUUCAAAGAAAUCCUUCAACAUUUUUAUCUCUUUGUGCAAGCACUAUUGUAACAAGUCCAUCUUCUUAGCUUUCACUAGAGUCAUCUUCUUAGCUUUCACUAGAGCAUCUGUGGUGAUAUGGAGUUUACAGUAAACCUUAUAAGAAUGGGGAGUAACAAUCCUCUUUUGUCCGAUGACUCUUUUGUUUUGGGUAAGAAAUUCCAAAAUUCAUUUUACCUUCUUUCCAUGAAGAGCAAAUGAAAGUUGUGUUAUUGUUUAUGAGAAUGCAUGAAAGUGAUCUAGAGUUGAGUCGAGUUUUCUUUACUAUCUUUUUAGAUCAAUCUUGUACAUUUUAUACCAUUUGUCAUAUAGAAUUUUGGGUUAACUUCGUUUGGCCCGCAAAAUUGAUGUUAUAUGUCACGUUAAACAUUCUAAAAAAGUAAAUGGUAAAUUGGAUUAAUGGUCAUCCAAUUAUGAUUUUUUUUUUAAUCACCCAACUAUAAAAAAUUACAAAAUGGUUAGUCAAUUACUAGUAAAUUUUUUUCUUUUUUUUGUCAUUAAAAUAUGAAAAGUGACAAAAUGAUCUCCAUUAUCACUUUAACCGAUUGGUGACUAAAAAAACAUUUGAAUAAUUAGAUGACUAUUUUGUAAAAUUUUCAUAGUUGGGUGACACAUCCUAUUUGAUAUUUAAAAAUAUAUAUAUAACGACCUUGAAUACAUGGUAUUAGAGCCGCCUAUGAUUGCAAUUCCACAUUGAGUGCCCAUAGGUUGGAUCAAUAGGUACUCCGAGCCAAAAUCCUAAGUGUGUAGUGGUAGAAAAUAACGACAAAUACCCAUGACAAACGCAAUACGAGUUUAGAUGGAGAAGAAUAUUAAGCGAAACACUAAAAAAUUAGAUAACAUUAUUAAUACCACAUCAGAAAACAAGUACACUUGAACGCUCUAGGAAAGCAUAUGACUAAUAUCACUAGGGGGGUUUAGCUAGGUACAGCUGAUGGUCCCAAGUUGAAAGGGACUCUUGAGUAUAGCUGAUGUUUUGACCUUAGCCCUAUAUGGUAGGGGCAAAACACUAUCUAUCGGGUGUGUCCGCACCCAAUGAGAUAGAUUUUUGGUCAUCUAGACUGAUCGGUCUAUGGACGCCUCUAAUCCAGCUGACUUAUCCUAUUUUAUACACAAAAAUGUUGAAAUCUCUAGAUAAUGAAGAGUAAACUAAAAACAAAUAGCUUCCAUUAACAAGGCAUGGUGUUAGAGUUUAGGGUUUAGAACUAAUAAAGAAUCAUGAUUGCAAGCCAAACCUGGAUCAUUCAUAUACAUUAGAUGACAAUGAUCUCUGUAAGUUUUUGCAUUAAAACUAGGUUUGAGGAAACAUCAAAAAUGAAAAUCCAAUUUUCAGACAUAAAAUACUUCAUUAAUUACAUUAACAAAAGGCCUAUCAAACAUUCCUUUAGAAAACAAUUUUGAAAAGACACUGUUAACUGCACAUAAUGAUUUAUAUUUGACUUGUAUAAAAGCAAUUGUACAUACCUUUUCAAGAUUUUCAAUUCCCCUCUUUCUUGUUUCAUCUGCUAUAUAAUACAAAGUUCCCCAUCAGCUACAUGCAUAGCUAAAUAGAGCUUUAGGCAUUCAAAAAGCUAAAGAAUACAUGUUGGCCUCGAGGAAACACACAGAAUUGUGCACAACGUCACAUUUCAACUUUCUCUGCAUGCUUGAAUUGAUGAACACAACGAACAGUGCUAACACAAUACUAAAAAGGUUUUCUUUAUGGAAGACAAAUUUCUAUGACCAUUUUUCCACAAUACGCUCUGAUAAUCUAAUUUCCUCAUCCUUGGAAAUAUGUGGAUCUAGCUUCUGAAGGCUGUCAAUAAAUGUCUUUGCCUCAUCACGCCGAUUGAGUUUACAAUAUCCAUCAACUAUGGAAUUGUAUGUAUUCUGGUUUGGUUUACAGCCGUGCUUGAUCAUGAAUUGGACAACAUCAAUGGCUUCCUCAAACAAGGAAUCAGCUGCAUAACUUGCAACAAAGGUAUUGUAAGUGAUAACAUCUGGAACAAGGCCGGAAUCACUCAUUUCUGAAAAUAUCCGAGAAGCCUCUUUCAUUCGACCGUUUCUACAAUAGGCAUAAAUAACAGUGUUAUACGAGAUUAUAUCUGGUUUUAUUCCUUUUGCCUGAACUUCCCUUAAAAUUUGUUCUGAUUCCUUGAACUUUUCAUAGCGGCUAUACAUAUACAUCAAACUGUUGUAGGUCGUCAAGCUCGGAGUAUACCCACACUCAUUCAUGAAGUUCAAGAUCUCGUUUGUCUUGGAAACCAUCUGCCUCCUGCCAUAUAUGGAGAGCAUGGCAUUUAGAGUAGUUAUGUCAGGUGGAAAUCCUUUCUUCCUCAAUUCCAAGAAAGCACGCUCUGUGUCCGCAAGAAGGUCACAUUUACUAUUAACCAAAACAAGAGUCUUUAACAGCACAGCAUGAGGUUCGAUGAUACCAGAGUAUAUCUCUUCUGCUAGGGCAUGCAUCUGAUCUACCUGCUUCCCAUUGGCAUAAACAUGAAGCAAAGAACAGUAGGUUAGCUCAUUGGGUUUGCAACGACCGUCUCUCAUUUCAGCCAGUAUUUUCUCAGACUGCUUCCAAAGCCCUCCCCGUGCCAAUGCCGCCAAAACAGCAUUAUAUGUAGAAAGGUCGGGGGUAACUCCAGCUUCCAGCAUUCUCUUAUAAAUAGCCAUGGCUUGAUCAAAAGCACCACAGCGACUGUAUGCACUAAUUAAAGUGUUGAAUGUGUCCCUUUCAGGUACAAACCCUGCCCUCUUCAUCUCUUUGAACACUCCAGACACUUCUACAUCCAUUCCAUUUUGCCCAAAUACUGCCAAUAGCGUAUUCCAAGUAACAAUAUCCGGUGCACCAUUGCAUGCCUUGAUCUCGUCAAAAAUCUUCAUCAUCUCAGUGAACUUCCCGCGGUUACCGUGCAUCUUAAUUAGAGCAUUGAAAGUGCAAAUAUUUGGCUUGCAACCAGAAGUUCUCAUCUCCUCAAAAACCGCCAUUGCAGACUCAUCUUUUCCAGCCUUGGCAAAUCCCGACAAAAGAGUGGUAUAGGUAAAAACAUCAGGCUUAAUCCCUUUUCCCUCCAUCUGUGUUUUCAAGUCCAUUGCUUCCUCCAACAAACCAUCCCUAGCAUAAGCGGAAAUCAACGAAUUAUAAGUCACAAUGCUAGGGGCAAACCCAUUAAGUUCCAUCUCUUUUAAAACCUCCAUAGCUUCCUUCGGACGCCGAGACUUCCCAUAAACAUCCAACAAUGCAUUGUAAGUAACAUUAUCUGGACUAAAACCAGCCAAUUUCAUUUCAUCGAAAACCGAAGCCGCUUCCUCAUGCAAAGACCCUCGACGACAGCUACUUAUAAGCGUAUUAUAAGUAUAAGCAUCAGGGGCAAUUCCAUCACUUUUCAUCCCAUCAAAAAGAGUCAUGACCUUACUCCAAGGCAUGCCCAUUUUACCAUACACAUUCAAAACCACAUUAUAAGUUAUCAAAGUAGGCUUACAGCCCUCUUCCUCCAUUUUCUUAAAAACCACCAUGGCUUCCCUAUACCUCCCACUACCAGCAUAAGCAGUUAUCAAUGAAGUAUAAGCAUAAACAUCAAGACUAAACCCUUCUUUGUGCAAACCAUUAAACAAAUUAGCUGCAACAGAAACCCUCCCCUCUUUCCCUAACAUACUGAUAAUAAUAGCAACAACAGAGCUAUUCAACACCAAUCCACAAUCAUUUCUAGCUCUAACCCAAUUGAAAACACCCCAAGCCAAGUCAGAUUUCUUGUAAAAACCCAAAGCUUUAACAAUUCCCACCACUUCCGCAGCCAAAAAAUCAGCUUUCACAUCUGGGUUUUCUUGGUAUUGUUCAAACAAUUUACUCAAAACAACAUCAAGUUGAUUAGAAUCAAAAGAAGGUUCAAUUAAGGAAUUAAGAACCUGCUGACCUUGAGCAGAGAGGUUGUUAUGAGUCCAACGCUUCCCACGGUUGACGUCACGUGACCGGCCGAGACGGUUCCGGGUCCAGACUUGUGGGUCGAUUUGUUGUUGGGACUUAGAAUUAUGUCGAAGAAGGAGGUCUUGAAAGACUGGAGUCGAGGGAGCAGGUGAAUUGGGCUGUGAAGUUGGGUUUUGUUGAGUGAAGUGAGUGUGGUUUGAUAAUGGGGUUUUAACAGGUGGGGGAUUUGGAAGGAGAAGAGGGAGAGCAAGCCUCUCUGCCAUUAAAGAGAGGAUAAGAAAGUUGCAGCCUUUGUAUCUAUGGCUGAGUUAGAAAUAGAGAAGGAGAAAAAAAAAAAAAGGGUAAUUGAUAAUUUUAGCAAACAGUUGGUGUGCGCUUUCGUUAUUACUUGCAGAGUCCACAACCUUUCUUCUUUUUUUUUUUUUAGAAGUCUAAGGUUUAAAGGGGGACAUGACAAAGAUAUAAGGAGGAUAUUUUAGGAGGGAAAGGGAGAUUAUAUUCGUCUGUGGUUAAGAAUGGACUAUUGAAAUAUUCUGACCAAUAAAAGGUUGCCACGUUAACUCUGAAGGCGGACUCUUAAGUCAAAAUUUGUGACGUUUGCCCUUCAGGCUUAAACCUCUUCAGAUAUUUGAUUUUAGGAUUAGUAAAUACAAAGUUAGUUCGACUUAGACAAAUUAUACUUAUUUAAACAUUUUUUUAAUCAAAUUCAUAUCAAAAACUACAUAUUUUUAACUGAAAAUGAUUUCCGAUAAUUUAUAUUUGUUUUAUGAAAAAUAAUUUAAUCAAUAAAAAAUGACUUAUAGAUUAAUAAAAAAUAAUAUAUUUUUCCUGAAAAUUGAUUUAUCAUUUUGAAAAGGGUAAGUCAUUUUCUAUAAAAAAAAACUCUUUUAUUUUUAUAUAAAAAUUAAUUUAAAGUCAAGCUUAAUACUAUUAUAUUAAUAAUAUUUUUUAAAUAUUUAAAAUAAAUAAAAUAAUAUUUAUAUUUUUUAAUAUUAUUAAACAUAAUUAUUUAAUUAUCUAUAUAUAAUCAUAAUAAAAAUAAAUUUAAUAAAUUAUUUAAUAUUUCAAUUUUAUUUUAAAAAUAAAUUUUGAAAAUAAUAAUUUUAAAUGAUAUUAUUCAUAUUGUAUUGAAAAAUAUUCAAUAUUAAUAUUUUAAUAAUAAAUGUUUAUUACAAUUAUAAAUAUAUUAUUGUUAAAUAUUUUGUAGUAUAAAUGUUAAAAUAUACCAUAAGUAUAUAUACUCUUCACAAAUUUUAAAUUUAAUCCCUAUACUUUUAUUUUCAAGAAUUUAGUCCCUUUACUUUUUAUAUUUGAAAAUCAAGUCCAAUUGUUAACAUUGUUAAACUUUUUUGUCAAUUUUGUUGAUGUCACAUUUUUAAAUAAAAAAUAAUCAAUAUUCAUGUAACUAAAAAAUGACGUUAUAAUUAACAUGAAUUUAACAAAAUUAAUAAUGCUAAUAGAUGAAUUUUGAUGUCUAAAAAUUAGGGCUAACCCCAAAAUAAAAGCACAUGGACUAAAUUUCAAUUUUACGAAGAAUAUAAGGACUUAAGACAUACUUUAACAUAGUAUAAAAACAUGUAUAUUUUAAUUAUAUAAAUAUGAGUAUUUGUUUAAAUAAUCCUUAACUUCAUUUAUCCCUUAAAACUCUAAUGUGUCAAUAUGUACUCUCAUAUAUGUAAUACAUAUAAUUUAAAUUAAGUUUUAAUUAAGCAUUAUUUAUUAUUAAGUUUAUAUAUGACAUUGAUUAUUACAAAAUAUUUUCUUAUUAUUAAAUAAGUUUCGAUUGUCAAAAGAAAAUUGCACUGUAAUAUUUUAUAACAAAUAUAUCUAUGUCGUGUUUGCUUUACAAAGAACAAUAUAAAAUAUAAAUUUAUAGACUCAAUUAAAUAAUGGAAAUAUAAGAAAAUAUCACAUGUAUGUUUAUUUAAUUGAAAACUAUUUUUAUGAAAUAUUUUCAAGAAAUCUGUCAAAUAUUUUACGUAGAUUCAUCCAAUCACCAGAAAAUAUUAACUUUUCCAAAAUAAUAAUUCAAUUUUUAGAAAUAAUUUUUCGAAAUCAAUUUUUAGUGAAACAAACGAAACCUAAACUUGAAAGUCGUAAGUUAACUUAAUGUUUUUUUAGGUACUUAAUACUAUUAAAAAUAUGUUGACAUGACAGUAACGAUCAAUGGAAUUGUGACAAGUGAUAGCCUCACAUUUUAACUCGUGGCAAAAAUAUAUUUAUUAUAAUAUUUUUAUUUAUUUUUGCCACGUGUUGAAAUGUAAGGCUAUCACAUGUCACCAUUAUAUUAAUAUUGCUUUUAAAAAGCACUUCUAAGAUAAUAAUAAAAAAAACUUUUGAAAUAGAUGCUUUUAAGCUUUUCAAAAGUGCUCUUACGACCAAAAAAAUAUUUUGAAAGCAUUUUUUUUACCAAAAAUAGAAGCGAAAAGUUUUAGAACACAGCCUCGUCCAUGGAGCCAUUCCAAGCCAAAGAUUGUUAAAAGCUAUUGGUACUUGAUUAGGAAUAGAUUUAAUAACAUUCAUAAACAUUAGAAAUGCACUAAUAAUCUUUGCAUUAAACAGUCACUACAAUAUUAAGAAAUCCAGAAACAGAAACCCUUAAGGUACUUUCUAUUUGCAAAUUGGAGGAGGAACUAGGCAUUGUUUUUCUUCAAUAUUUUCAACAAAAAAAGAUAGGCUCCAAUAGACAAAGGUUAUUUGCCUAUUUCGCAAACUGAUUUUGCUCUCUCUCGCCUUCUCUAGAAUCCAUCAAAGAAAGUGAGGAUUAAUCAACCCGGCGAUUUCAAGAAAUUCGACACGAUCUUUGCCUCCGAAUAUCUUCUUCAGCUUGUCAUCGCAAAUUAUAAACCUCUUGUUAUUGGGGUCCUAGAGAAAUUGCAAGAAAGAAACAAGUCAGUUAUAGGCUAAUAGCUUGGCAAUGUAAAACAAAAGAUACAGAGCUUGAAAUGCGUAUUCGAUUUCUAAAGUGAAACUAGCUAAAGUCCGUGAUAGCUCUCGUUCACAACCAAAGAUACACACACCACUCGCAAGUCACAACGCUUAUCUAGUAAGGAUCAGCGGCAUACAUACAUACAUAUAUAUAUGAAACAUUUCUCAGGCAGGAAUACUAGUAAAGCUUUGAGCCAUCAGCUUCCGAGCUAGUAGUCAAAUGCAGAACAACCAAAACAAGUUUGUGUAAAGGUCAUUAUGAUGAAUACCAAAAAGGCAGGCAACAACAUUAAACUUGUCAAGGUAUCGGCUUUCUAGGCUCGAAAGCUUCUCUUGUAUUCAAGAAGACUUAACUGUCUGCAAGGCCAUCACUGGCAGAAUAAAGAUACGACUCUUACACAAAAGAAUCUAAUCGAGAUAUGUAGAUAACUCAUAACAAAGAAGCCGAUAGAGCAUUAUAAUCAAAUAAACUACACAUCUAGACUAUGUUCAUUGACUUCAAAUACAGAAACCCAUCUAUAAAAUCCAGAGUUCCAAAUUCCUAAAAAUCUUAAGGCAAAUGUAUGAAAAUCACCCAAUAGAAUUACUGUCAGUACCAUAUCUGUAUGGAAGAAGAUAGAGCAUCAACCAUGAAGCAGCUUCAUAAACAGCUAAAGAAAAUUUUUUUAUCCAUAAAGCAAAACCCAAAGCAAAUAAAUCUGAACUUCAUACGUUUAGAUAUACAUUCACUCACAAUAACCAGAAAUAAAGAUAGAAUUAAAAACCCAUUCAAAACCUCCAAAAACUCUUAAUACAUUUUCACAGCAAACAAACACAACCAUAUAGUUUAAAGAGGCAACGAAAGCAGCUAAUGGACCUGAAGAUUGUGCUCUUUAAUAUAAGCCCAAAUCUGCUUAAGAACUUCAGUUCGAGGGAUUUCCGGGACUCCCACGAGAGCUUGCAUCUCAGGCGACACAGGGCGGGGCUUCAUUAUGCCACGUGGCUUCCGGGGACCGCUGUCAGUCUUUGAAGCCGUGGCUUGAGUCAGGGUUCGUACCAUGCGCACGUUAGUUGGAUGAAGAAGACGGAGAGAAGAGGGUUUGCCCGAGAACGACACCGUUUGGGGCGAGACAAAAGUGGAAAAUGUGGCCGAAGAGACAGCCAUUUUUUUUCUUCUUAGUUUGUCAGGAAGAAACUGAAGAACGGAGGGGAUUUGUGGUGUCCUCUUUGUUUCUGGAAAUUUGUUUUUUGUUUUUUUUUUUCCUUUUUUGAGAAUGAGAAUAAAACGAAGAAGAUGAAUUAUCUGUUUUCUUUUAAUAUUUUAUUAAUUUUCUUUUUAUAUUUAAAUGGUUUUGAAUUUUUUUAAAAAUAUAUAUUAUCCCUAAACUGCGACCCAAUAUCUUUGGGCCAUGGACAUAAUUAAACCAUUAUCAAUAUUCUAGAAAAUUCCCAUUUGUUUUGGACUUUGGUCAUAGUUAAAAAAUAAGGGAAAUGGGCUGGGCUCUUUCGGAUCCAAGGCUAAUUCCAUCCACAUAUCAAAAAUCUUGUUCUCAAUUCCUCUUACUAUUAAAAUAUUCAAUUUAGUACUUAAAGUUUUAUUUAUUAAUUAAAUCGGUAUUAUCAUUACAUCUGACUCUAAUGGUAUUUUUUUUUAUGAUAUGGCACAUAAUCCAAUUAAAUUUUAACUGUCUUAUCAUUGCAUCCGAUCAUUUAUUGGUUUUUUUUAAAUAUUUUCAAUAUAUUAAAACAAUAAUUAAAAGUAAAUAAUUAAUAUCAUGCUAAAAAUCACAAGCACCAAUGAAACAAUGUUAUAUAAUUUUUUUAUUUUUUUUAAAAAAUACUAUUUUACAAUCAUUCUAUUUAAUAUCUUCUCUAAUUUAAUUUUGAGAUUCUUAUUUUCAUUGCAUUUGUUCCAUGUGGGAGCUUAACCGUCACAUCACAUUACCAUUUAGCUUCGAUCGCCUCAUUUCAUUAUAUAUAAUGUUUCACUAAGAUUUGAGAAACAUGUAAGCUAAUCAUUCUUGAUAAUCAAAUUACUCAGACAUGACAACCAUCACUUGUCACCUACAUAUCUUUCAACUUAAGUGAUGUCACAUUUCUCACCUAAUAAUGAUCUCAGAAGGACCUAACUAACCAACCGAAACGAGACGCAUGUUCGAUAAGAUCAACCUAUAUAAGAGCCUCUCUCGCUCUACACUCUUUUCCCAUGCCCAUCUCAAACUUUUCUUCUCCUUUACCUUCUUCAUCACAUACGGUAUGACUUCCCAGCCAACCACCCUAGCAAGGUUAACUAACGUUGCUUCUUAGUAUCAACAACAUUAGUUUGAGAUUCAAUUUUACUUUUGGUUCAUUUUUCUAUCGAACUCCAUUGUUAUAUGGUUCAUAUGGUUUUACAACUUAAUAAAAAUCAAGAGAAAAGAUUUAUUAAUAAUAAGAUUUUAGUAAAAUAUCGACAACCUAGAUAAGUUAAAGCAAUCAUUUUUAACCACCAAUUUGUAAUUAAAUUUAAAUAUUGAGUUAGAAUGAUAGUAAAAUUCUUUUAAUAUUUGACUAAAUUAUUGAUUUGGUAUACUUGAUUAAACUAAGCAAAUGAUCAGUGAGUUGACUUAAUCCUGAGUCGGGCCGAUGCAAAAUUUUAAGUUUUUUUUUAGGUUCAAGUUCGGUUAAAAUUCUGUCUAAAUCCGGUCCAAAUUAAAAAUGUUAAACUCGAGUUCGACCCGACUUGCCUGUAUUAAUUUUUUUAGAUUAUUUUUGUAUAAAAAUAAAUUUAAAAAAUAUAAUACAUCAAAUACACUAAAAACAUUAAAAUAAAUGUUUCCUAACAAAAUUAAAAAUACAUUAAAAAAUCUUUAUACUUAAAUAGCACUAAGAUAUUUGCAACUUAACGAGUAAAUGCCUCUAAAAUAGUAGUAAAAUUAACAAUAAAACAAGAGUUAUACAAUAUCCAAACAAUAAUAACAAAAUAGUAGCAAAACAAUAGCGAAACAACAAAAAAAACAACUUAUUCGAACCAGGCUUGGGAACAAAAAUCCUACCUAAGACUCGAUUCCAUUUAAAAAACGGGUUUUAUUUUUUGUUUAAGCCCAUUUCAGGGGCCUAUAUUUUUACAAAAAUUCUCUCACUUUUAAGACAGACCUUCAAAUCUGGACGAAUAACUUAACCUAUAAUCAGUUGUACUAAUAAGGAGCUACUACUAUUUCACUUUUAAUAUCGUAAUUUGUAAAGGUAUACAAUCACAACACAAUAUAAGUAGAAAAGUUUUAAAUAGGCAACCAAAAAGGGUUUUAGUUGCAAAUAAGGGAUUGUUGGUAUAAGUAUUAAAUUUAAGUUUUCUUUCAUAUUAUUCUACAUUUAAAUUUUAUUAUAUAUAUUCCAUUUAAAUUUUUUUGAUUUAUAUUCAAAUAUAUUUUAAUUUUCAAUUAGUUACACUUUAUAUUAAAUGCUCUAUAAUUCUAAUUAAUCAGACCAGCUUUCUUUAUGAUCUAUUUGUAUUCUUCUUCUUCUUUUUGAAUAAUCUUAUAAUAAGUUAUUAUCGUUUCUGUUCUUUUUUGACAUAAUAUCUAGAAUUACCCAUAGUUCCUUCCCAAUCCAUAAAUAGAAGGAAAAUAGGCUUCUGCAUACUCAAAUCCACAUCCUCCUAUAUUAACAACAAUGUCUAUACUGAUUGAGUCUCAAUCUGACAAUCUAUUUGUACUCUUUAAUGCUCUAACACUUUAAAAAGGGGGUUUUAGUUGAAGAGAGCUCAUGACACUUAAUCUCACCAAAACAGGUCAAAUGAAAUGAAACCUUACUCUAAACAUGGCCUUUCAAGACAGACCAAAUGUUACAAACACAAAGCACAUUCGAGUCUCGACAUCCUCUUUCAUGUCAUUUUUCAGUUUCUUCUUAUGACAGUAACCUUAAUUGGUACGAAAUUUGAUUGAGAGAUAGCUUUUGAUUAAACCACAUGCUUUUGCAGUUGAGAAAAAAAAGAAUAAAUAAUGCCAUAAAAAGUUCAACUUCAAUUCAUCUUUGUGGAAAGAAAUGAAUGGGCCAACAGGAGGAGGAUAACCAGUUCAUAUCACUUUAUAUUUACAGAUAAUGACCGUUGAACCGAUGGGGUCCCUCUUCCCCCUUCUAUUGCUUAUUCUCUAAGCUGCUUAUGGACCACUUUUUAAUUAGUUUUCUGGUUAAUUAAUCGAGCUUCCUUGAACUAUUAUUUAGAUUUUAAAUCGAUCCUUAAACUUUAAAAUAUCAAUAUUGAUUUAAAUUUGUUUCGGGUUAAUUGUAAUCACAGGUGUAUUUAUUAUAUGAAUAACUUAAAUUUGACAUGUUAAAAAAAUAUAUCGAGUCAUUAAAACUUAGGUUUUUUUUUUUUAAUAUCAGAUUUGGUAUGCCUGUGUAAUAUGUACACAUAAGUUUAUAAUUUGAUUUUUGUGUUUUAAAUAUGUUUUAAGUUAGAUUUGAGUUUAUAUUUAAGGCCCUAGCUAAUGACCAAACUAACAGAAUGAUUUGAUUGAUAUGAUAUCGAUAAUUUGAGGACUCAAUUUAAACUCGAGGAUAUAGAGAAUUUAAUUAAAACGUUUUGAAGUUUAUGAACCAAUCUAAGAUUUGAGACAUAAUUUAAGGAUGCUUGAUAUAAUUAAUUUUGAAUUUAAUUUUUUUAAAUCAAUAAUUUUGUGAAAAUAGAUACUUGAAUUUUAGAUAAAAAGCUUUCUAAAUGGGUUUUUGUUAAAUUACUUCAUUUUAAAGGAGAUAUGAUAAUAGUUUUUUCUAUUUUAAUAAAUGGUUGAGGGUUCAAUCUUUACCUUAAAUAUAAAGUAAUUUUAAAACUCGUAACCAGAUUAUACCCAUAAAUUAAUCUCUAAAACUUGAAUGAGUAGUCCCAACUUGAAAAACCAUAAAAAGAAGAUUGAAAGUUUCCAUCCACAUGCAAAACCAGAAAUGACUAUAAAAGCAUCACAUAAAAAUGGUAACCUCAUUUAUUAAAUGAUUAUAUAUCUAUAAUAUAAAUACAUUUAUUAAAAGUUUAUAUAAAAAAUUAAAAUUAACUUUAAUUAAAAUGAAAAAACAAAGGAUUUAUAUUAAAAUUUAUUAUGAGUGAUUUAUUAUUAAUUUAAAUAUAUAUUUAUAUAAAAGUUAAUUGAAUUUUAGUUCAAUUGAUAUGGACAUUAUUACUUUUAGAGAAGGACGGGAAUUUGAAUGCGUUGAAGUGCAUUACAUAUAGUAAAUCGUAUAAGGUAUAAAAAUCUUGUUGAAACUGGUAGGUGAUAAAUAUAAUGAUAAAACAUUAUUAUUUUAUGUUUUAGGGGUGCUUUAGAAAAGUUUGGAUGAAAACAGUUUAAAAUUUUUAAAACCCAAAACAAUUUAAAAUGCAUCAUUUCAAGAUAUUAAUAUCUUUAUUUAUACUUUAUAUUAAGAGAUUUAUUGAGUUAGUGUCAUUUAUCAAUCGGUCUCAAUUCGAUUAAAAAUUAUCAAAAAUUUAUUCUUUUGAGUUAUGGUGUGUUUGAUAAACUCAAAAUGUAAGUGCUGAAAAUUUAAGUACGGAAUUUUUAUUGCUAAAUUUUAUAAAUGCUGAAUUUAUAUUAAAAAAGUAUUUGAUAAAUUAGUAUAUAUAACUAUUGACUAUAAUUAUAUUUUUUAUAAAAGUAAAUAUUAAAAUUUUAUUUAUUAAUAUAAUAUUUAUAUUAUUUUAAUUAGUUUUGAAUAAAAGAUACGUAUGGUAAUUUGAAUAUCUCCUUUUUUUUAAAUUAAAUAAAAUAAAAUAAACUUAAUAUUUUAUACUAAUUAGUAGCUGACUACGUACUUAUUUUAUUCAGCACUUUUUUGUUGAAAAUUUUAAUUAUCAAUUAAAUGAAAAUUUUGAAUAGUUUAUCAAAUAUACCUUUAAUGUCACGCGUCUAAACUUUUAUAUCAAUUUUUAAUAAACUUAUUAUAUGAAUAUUCUCACAUAUAUCACGGAUGUACAAUAAUCUAGUAUUGUUUAUGUAUUUUAAAUAUAUUCUAGAAUAUUAAAAUAAUUUUCUUUAAAAAAAAAAAGUUGUUUUUUGAGUUCUGCUUAUUGUAGUGGGUCAUAUAAAAGUUAGAGAAGAUUUGGUCAAAUUUUAUAGAAACAAAUUUUCAUUUUUAUAGAGAAUUUGAGACCCUCUAAUUUCCUCAUUAGAUCAUUUUCUAAAAAAUUAAAAUUUUCAUUUUAUUUUAUCCUUUUAAUUUUUAAUUUAUUUGUGAACUUUUAAAAAUCCUUUAAGUAAGCCUUACCAAAUUUACCAUAAAAAAUCCAAACUCAUCCUAAUUAUUUCAGUAGUAAAUAAGGCCCCAUGCUUAAAUGCAACCAUGAGCGGCUAAAACUGGAUGGGACCGAUUCAUUAAACACCAAAACAUGAACCCUUAAUUAUCCUAUGCACUAGUAAAUUGGGUCAUAGUUCAAUUGAUAUUGGUAUUAUUGUUAAUGUAAGAUGAUAUUGAUUCGAGUGUAUUAAAGUGCAUUAUCCUCCUAUUUAAAGUUUACAGAAGAAUUAUGGAUAGUUCUAGGCAUUUUAUUAAGAAGAGCAGAUAUGAUAAGAACCUAUAAUGGAAUUAAUAUUUAAAAAAAAUUAUGUGAUGAUGUAGGUUAAAUUCUAUCAAUUUUGGAUUAUAUUUACAUUCGAUAAUUAUAUUAAAUUUAAAUUUUAAAAUAAAUUUAAUUAUACCAAACAUUCCCAAACUAAAAUUCAAAUUCUAGAUUAGUCUCUAAAAUUCAAGAUGUUUUAAUUGGAUCCUCAAAAUAUUAGUAUUGCAUCAAUCCGGUCAUUCAACCAAUCUAGGGAUGAAGUGAAAAAUAUUUUUUGGGGGAUCAGAUUUAAGUUAUAAUUUUUUGAGAGAACUAAAAUACAAUCUUAAUAUUGUAAUAAUAUAAAGUUUAACAAUUUCUCAAGGGGCUAAAUUAUAAACUUUAUAGUUUUGAAGGGCUAGAAUUGAAUUCUAGAUUUCAGAAGGGUAAAAUGCAAAAUUGCCAUUGAAUUAACUUAAAAUUUCACAAAAUUUAAACAUUCUUUAGUGUUGCUCGAAAUCAAUCUUGAAUUUAACGUGAAACAUAUUUAAAAUACAUGAUUAAAUUUUAAAUUUUAAAUACGUCUCUAGUCUUUACUUAUGAAUAACUUGAAUAUAACUUGUAAAAAGGAAGAAGAAGAGAAACUCUUCUAAUAAUUUUAAAUUUUGGACCAUAAUUUAACCACAUUAUUGAAUUAACACUUUGAAAAUACUAGUAAUUAAUACUAAUAAUAUUUUAAAAUAUUGGUAAAAAAAUCUCUUCAAUCUAUACGAAUUUGAAACCGAGCAAAUUAGUCCCUUUAAAAAAACCAAAACAAUUUAAUCCCUGUCAAAUUCGAAAGUGAGUAACUAAGAACAAUUAAUCACAACGCUUAAUGUUUUCCAUAAGUUGUAUAUGGUUCUGAUUGGUAUAAUAAUAAAUUUAGCUCUCAAAGUUUAUGCAUCCUGUCAAAUUGGUCCUAAUUCAGUGUGUAAGUGUUGAGGUUAAAAUUGUUGAAUUUUUUAAAAAUUAAAAUCAAAAUGACAAAAUAUAUAAACAUUGAAAGUUAAAAUUGUUAUUAUACCAAUCAAAAUCAAGUAUAUUUACUUAAUUUCGAAAUUUAAAAAAUUCGAAAAAUUUUGUUUACCUAAUAAUAUUGAAAUUAUGAAACGUGGAGAAGCAAAGCGGAUUGAUGUAUAAGCAAAGCUUUCAUAAUCUGUCUCUCAUGCAUUUUGGGCACCAAAAUUAUGUUAAUUUGUUAGUGAUUAAGACCCUAAUUAAUUAUUAUAAUUUGGUUACUUAAUCACAACGAUUACAGUUGGGAAGUCCAAGGAUUGAGAUAUAUUGUUUGCAUAGUUCGAUAAGUACAUCAUCAAUUUGUUUGUCUUUCUCAUUCAAUUAACUUCUUUUUUUUUGACAUUUGAUUUUCCUUCUGAUUUUGAAAAUUUUGACAUUUUUAACAAUAAAAUCUUGACAUUUCACCCGUUACAUGUUUUUUUUUUAAUAGAAAAAGCAAGAUAGGGAUUAUUUAUAAACUUGUUAUUAUAUUAUGGGUUAAUGUUAAAUUUUUUUUUAUCUUUUAUAUAAAUAAAUAAAAUUGUUAGGAAAAAAGAACCAAAUGAAUAAAUAUGAUAAAUUAUUUUACGUACUUUUCCCAUCAUAUCAUCUAUGGUCCCUUUUCAAUUAUUUAAUGAUAUUUUAAUAACUUUUUUCAUGUAUUUUUUACCCUAAACUAUGAAUCCUAAACCUCAAACAUUAAAUUUUGAACUCUAAACCCGAACCUCGAACCAUGAUAAGAACUUAUAGUUUAGGUUUGAGGUUCGGAUUUAGAGUUCAAUAUUCAAUGUUCGAGGUAUAGAGUUCAAAGUUUUGGAUUUGGAAUUCAUGGUUUAGGGUAAAUUUUUUUUACCCAAAUUAUGUAUCAAUGACAUAAAAAAAUUUAUUAAAAUAUGGUGGGAAAAGUUUGUAAAAUAAUUUCUCAUAUAUAUAGUUAUUAAAUUAAUAAAUUAUAUUUUUUCAAUUAUCAUAUUUUAAAUAAUUAAUAAAUUUCAUCCAAACAUAAUAUUUUAUUAUGUCGAGAAAAUACAACUUAUUAUCAUCUGAAUUUAGUAACGAAAUUAAUUAAUUAACAAAAAGCAUGGACCUAAUUGAACAUGACAAACGUUUCAAAUAGAGACCAGAUAAAAAAUUAGCUCAUUAUUAAUUUCCCCUAAAUGCCCACGACAUUUUCCUUCUAGAGAGAUGUCACCAUGCCAAUACCCAUGGACGUGAUUCUUAGUUUUAGUAAUGUAGAUUAUAUCGAGUCUUAAUUUUUGGCACUUAAAUUUAGUAAUUAGUAUUCAAUCUAGGGAUUUGGAAAUUUUUUUCAAUUUGGUAUUGAAUUUACAUUUCGUGACAUUUUGAAAUUAUAAAAAUUAUUUAAAAAAUAAUUUUUAGAUGUUAUGUUUAUUUUAAUUUUCAGGUAAUAGCAUAACAUAAUAUUAUGAUAUCAUGUCAUUAAACUUUAACAAAAUUUAUGUUAUGGGGUUCAAUUGAAAAAAAAAACCUAAGUUCUCGGAUUAAUAUGGACAAAAAAAUUAAGGUACUAAAAUGAAUUUAAUUACCAAAUUUAAGGACCAAAAAUUACAUUAACCCUUUUAAAAUAAAAAUAAAAAUAAAAAACAUGCAACGGCUUAACUUAGCGUACAAAUUACAUUUGCCAGUUAGCCAUGAAAUGAUCCACCUCAUCAUAUCUCUAUAUUAGAUGGGGCCUACUCGGCUUUCUUCUCAUUUAUCCCAUUUACCCUCCAUCUAAUUUAUUUAUUUUUAAUAAAUUGAUAAUUUAUAAAUUUAUAAAUAAAUUAUCUUUAUAAAUUAUUAGAAAACUAUUACAAAAAUUUUACUUUAAUUAUUUUAUGAGUUAUCAUCAUAGAUGAUAAUAAUCAGAUACACACUUAUAAUUUCUCCCCAACUAAUAAAUAGAAGAAUAAUACGCUUUAAUAUAUUUGAACUUAUACCUUUCUACACUAACAACAAUACCUCAUAUCAAUUGAAUCAAAACUCAAUGAACAUUUAUCAUAAUUUUUUUAUAUAUACAUAAUAUAAUAUAAUUUAACAUCAAAUAUAUAAAUAAUAAACUAAGUCUUUUUCGACAAUUUUUUUAACCAUCAAAUAUAUCUUAAAUUUUAUUUUAUUGUAAUUUUAUAUGAACUUAUUAUAAUUUUAAUUUGUUAUUUAUAUUAUAUUUGUACUUGUAAAUUUUUAAAAAAAAUUAAAUUAAACAUGUUCAUUUUAAAAAAAAAUGUAAAUAUAAAUAUUUAUUAAAUAUAAUAUGCUUAUAAAGUAUGGUGAAAAUUUUUAUAAUAAGAGUCAAAUUGUAUUUUGUAUGUUCUACUCGAAAAAAUAGAAAAAUUAAUCAUUGUAGGUUAGUCUUUCUAAUAAAAAAUUAAAUCUAUUUUUCUUAUUAAAAAUUAUUUAAUUUUUGAAAAAAUUCUUAUAGGUAACUGUGUUUAAUAAAAAAUAUAAAUUGGAAAAAAAUAUAAAAGUAGUUUUGUUUUAGAUUAAAUGUAAAACUUUAAAAUAAUUGUAAUAUUUAAAAUUAAAAAUAUUAAACUAUUUACAACCGUCGGGACUAAAAAUUAUAUAUUUUUGAAUGAUGAUGAAGAUCGAUUCCUGGUGUAUAUAAAUACUGCCUUCUAUUCCCUUCAGUCUUCACUUCACCCUCUUUCUCAUUUCACACGGGUUGUGGCGUAGUUUAAGCAGAGAGGUUGCGCAGGAUAAAGUCUCUUCACCAUUGUUUCAACAUGAAGGUUUGUAAUAAAAAUUUGUUUCUAUCAGCAUUGCUUUGCAUUGCUAUUGCAGGAGUUUUGGGUCAAGCUCCUAGUAAUCCUCCUACGUCUACGCCGGCGCCACCCACACCACCGGCUUCUACUCCUCCUCCGACGACUCAACCACCGCCUACACCAACCGCCACUCCGCCACCAGUUUCUACUCCUCUUCCCACUUCAUCACCGCCCCCAGUGACAGCUUCUCCACCCCCAGUUUCAACUCCUCCACCCAGUUCUCCUCCUCCCGCAACUCCACCACCUGCUUCUCCACCUCCUGCAACUCCACCUCCAGCUUCUCCACCUCCUGCAACUCCACCUCCAGCUUCUCCACCUCCCGCCACUCCUCCACCAGCAACCCCCCCACCUGCAACUCCUCCUGCUACCCCACCACCAGCUCCAUUGGCUUCUCCUCCAGCCACAGUCCCAGCUAUCUCUCCAGUACAAACACCAUUGACCUCGCCACCAGCUCCGCCGACCGAGGCCCCAGCACCUACCCUCGGGGCUGCUACGCCAGGUCCAGCUGGAACA